GGUUCGACUGACUUCUGCACACUUUGGUGUCAUCUCCUGUUGUGCUGGAAUUUGUACGUAGUUUUGUGGUUUGACUAAUUCAUGAUCCUUGUUGGAAUAUCCUUAAUGGUGGGAUCUGCACUAUCUCUGUCCUGUCGUGGUUUUCAUCAGAAUCAUCAAAAAGUUACCUUUAGGGAUACAUACUAAUAAACAAAUGUGUGGUACACAUCAUUUUAUUUAAGUUCCAAGCAAUCUUGAAGGUUGGGAAUCAAGGUUUAACUUUUACUUUAAAUGUAGAUAAUUAUUGGGAAUAUGAUGUUGAUUUAGAAAUUUCGUGAAGGAGCAGAAACUGGAAAUAGUUUUUGUAACGUACUUCCUGCUUCAGAAUAAAUGACAAAUAAUCCUGCACAGUGGUAUCUUUCAUUAAUCGUCCUCCUGUCUUUGAAAGUACAAAUCAAAGUACAAAUUUAUGUAUCGUUAUUGAAAUAAAAAGAAGAAAGACACAAACUCUAAAUUGAUACGGGCUGCUGUUACAGGAGGAGUGACUUCAAUGGAUGACUUCUUGAAAAAAUUCUUCCCCAAAGUGUACGAAAGGAAACACCACCAUUUGAAUGAAACAGAUUAUUGUAAAUAUGAUGAUCAGGUUCUCACUCUCUUUACUUCCUCCCUGUACUACGCUGCACUUAUUUCAACUUUUGGGGUGUCAUACGUGACCAGAAAUAAGGGCAGGAGGAUGAGCAUUAUGUGUGGGGCAGUCAGCUUCUUUGCUGGAGGACUUGUCAAUGCAGCAGCCGAGAACAUUGCGAUGCUGAUCAUUGGCCGAUGCCUGCUUGGUGUAGGCAUUGGGUUUGGGAAUCAGGUAAGCCAUUUGUCCUACACACCGAGUAAUUCGUGUGAAAAAAAAAUAAAGAAAGAUUGUCACAUAUGCUCGUUUUGUACCUGUUUCUGCAGGCGGUCCCUCUGUAUCUCUCAGAAAUGGCACCUGCUAAAAUCCGAGGAGCAGUUAACCAACUGUUUCAACUAACAACCUGCUUGGGAAUCCUUGUUGCCAACUUAAUAAAUUAUGGUGUCCAAAGCAUUCAUCCAUGGGGCUGGAGGUUAGCCCUCGGUUUAGCAAUGGUUCCUGCUGCUAUAAUGUUCGUUGGUGGACUUUUUGCUCCAGAGACCCCAAACAGUCUUGUUGAACAGGGUAAACUAGACGAAGCAAGAAAGAUCCUGGAGAAAGUGAGAGGGACACCUAACGUGGAUGCUGAAUUUGCUGACCUAUUAGAAGCAAGCGAAGCCGCACGAGCUAUAAAGAAUCCGUUCUCAAAUCUGUUAAAGAGGAAGAACCGCCCCCAGCUUAUAAUAGGAUCCCUUGGUAUUCCAGCGUUCCAACAGCUCACUGGCAAUAACUCCAUUCUUUUCUAUGCCCCUGUCAUAUUCCAGAGCUUAGGUUUUGGGUCCAAUGCCUCCCUUUACUCCUCUGUCAUUACAAAUGGUGCACUAGUUGUAGCUGCCUUGAUCUCUAUGGCUCUCGUUGACAAGUUUGGCAGGAGAAAAUUUUUCCUCGAAGCUGGUUGUGAAAUGAUAAUCACCAUGGUAUGCUGUCUUGCAAAGUGCUAACUACAUGAAUAUGACCUCUGGCUUAUGAAUAUAAUCUAACAGGUAGACGUUUUCUUCAUCUAAAAUACAUCACGCUAUUGAUUGAUAUGCAGGUUGCUGUUGGUGUUACUCUGGCUUUGAAAUUUGGAAAGGGUGAGGAGCUCUCCAAAGGAAUUAGUGCUUUCCUUGUCAUUAUGAUCUUCGUGUUCGUUCUGGCUUAUGGAAGGUCCUGGGGUCCUCUGGGUUGGUUAGUUCCAAGUGAGAUCUUUCCCCUGGAGACGAGGUCGGCUGGCCAAAGUAUUGUCGUUAGCGUGAAUAUGCUCUUCACGGCUCUUGUUGCUCAGUUUUUCCUGAAAGCUCUCUGCGGACUUAAAUUCGGUAUCUUUUUGCUGUUUGCUGGUCUAAUAAUUUUCAUGAGCUGCUUUGUAUACUUCCUCUUGCCCGAGACCAAGCAAGUCCCAAUAGAGGAGAUCUAUUUGCUGUGGCAAAGCCACUGGUUUUGGAAGAGGUACUGCGCGCCUGAUGCCAAUGAAGAUGGACAGGAGAUACAAAAACCCAGAAAACCCAAUAAUGAAACAGCCUAGAGAAUAGGUCUGAGGGAGCAACUUUCUUUCUGUGCCUAAUUAUUUUGCGUCCUGACAUACCUAGGGCACAUUUUCUUUUGCUUUUGUGUUUAUGGGUCUGUGCUUUUUCCUUGUUUGGAUAAUUUUACUUCAAGAAUGGGGAAGUACAAGUCAUAAUCUGAUAAGCAGAUUUACAUGUUAUAGUGUUCAUGUCAUUGCUUAAAACAGUAGCAUAUCAUGAUGUCAAUUGAGCUAAAAUUGCAGAAAAUUGACCACCUAUAUCUCCUUUCUAACUUUUAAGUUUCGAAUGCAUAUUCCUUCUUAAUAUGUAUUGAUGAGAGGAGGGGUCAGUUCUCAAUGGUAGAUCAUAACUCUUAUAUCCCUCCAUUGAAUUAAAAGAAAAAAAAACUAAAAGAUGCAUGUGCAUGGAUCGUCUAACUUCCUGUCGUAAAGGGAAGUAGCUUGAUCUAAAGCGGAUCAUCUAACUUCCUGUUGUAAAGCGCAUACAUGGAUGCAUGGUACGAGCCCAAAACAACGCUGUUUAACAAAUUGUGCUCCCACUGAGCACGAAAUCCUAGAAGUUAACGUCACAACCUCCAGAUAGUUUGCCGGAGAAGAUCGAAGAAAAGAGUUUGAAUGAAUAAAGGUGGUCAAGAAGGAUUCUCUCUGGUUCAUAAUUGAGGUGGCUCAAGAUGGAAGUUACAAGUAGAACCGCAGGACCAACUAACAGCCAAAACAUAGAAGACCAAACUGAGUGAUAAAAGUAGCGCAACUGAAAGCCAAGCAUGUUUGAUUCAUUGACCAAGGUGGAGAACAGGAAAAAUGACAGUGAAAGAUGCCGAGAUUGCCUUAAUAUAAAGCACACUAUACAAAGUUGAUCUGUUAAUUUAUUGGUUCGACCAUCUUCUGAAUCCCUAAUUCACUUGCUAUUUGAACAUACAACCUCUCACCGCUUCCUCCAUCGGAAAAAUAAAUGAAGAACAAAUAAAGUUACAUAACAAUACUAAAAGAACUCAUUAAGCUAGCAAUUUCGCUAGUUCAUCUACUCUUAGGCUUCCCGGUUGAUUUACAUUUAGAUAAUCUUCCCUAAUGUCCUUCAUGCUUCGACCUUUAGAAGUCUUUUUCCCACUUCCUCUCUUACUCGAAAGAGUAACUUCUUUCUCUGGCACUUUGAGAGCCUCUUUCACCUCCAAAUCAUCACUUUGUGGCUUAUCACAUUCUGGAACCACCAACUGCUUACGUCGAUGGCUAAAAACAGGCCCAGGUGGAGCAGACUUAGCAAGAGCGACGGCUCUUUCAUAAACAAUGUCUGCAUCCAAGCUAGAAUCCUCCAACAUAACUGCAAGCCCACUUUCAACAGCCUGCCUGAGGAGGAGAAGAACUUCCUCAGCUGAAGGUGUAGUUGCACUUGAAAGUUCACUGAUACCCUUUCUAUCUUCAGAUACACCUUCCAACUUGCUUGAAGUAAAAGGAGCCGUGAAUGGAGGUUCUGAAUGGUUGUCAUUACUGAAAGUGCUUCCCAGCCUUGUUUCAGGCCCUGAAGACACGGUUAACAUGGCAUUGUGGUAAGAGUUUGAACCAUCCCAUUCUUCUUCACUUCUAUCAAAAUCCACCAAAACAUCUGAACCGACGGCGCACUGAACAUCCGGAGGACUUUCACUCUCAUACGUUUCACAUGCAGAAGUGGCUAAAGCUGUAAGAUCACCAACCACCUCUUCUCCAUAUUCACUGCUUCCAUCUGAUUCCACCUCUUCAAAAUUCCAAGAACCACUGCUUGUGUUAAGAUCUUUAAUAGUUGUAUUCAUUUUUGUUGUGUUUGAAACAGAUGAUGCUGAAGCUGUUAAUGACUCGGCUUCUCCUUCUAAAAUUGUUCCAACAAAGGUCGUAGCAUCAGAUUCAGUUUCCGUCAUUCCUUCUGCAUCACUUCUUAGCUCUGGCAGGGAUGACUUCCAGUCCUGUCCCCUCCACAUGAGGAUGUGCUCAUUCUCAAAAGAUAUUAACACGCAUGGGACAAGAUCCUGCACUUAAAAGAUUUAAGGAUUGCUCAGAUUUUUCUGUUCCUCAAAGCUCUAGAUGUUAAGCAUCCAUAAUUAAAAGACCAGACCUUGAGUUUGGCACCUAUUUUACGGUAAUCACUCCCAUUCACACCUUCGCAAUUGAUUCGCACCAGUUCACAUGCUUCAAAUGCCUCCCUGACAUUCUUAACAAGGUCACAGUAGACCCCAUUUUUAGCUGUAAUAAACACAAAACUAUAAUCAGCUAAUCCCUAGGAAAAAAUGGUCGACUUUGCUCUGUCACUUCACCUAUAGACAGUAUAGACAAUCAAAAUAAAGAUAAACAUACCAAGCUUGCAUAUUGGCACAAGAUUGCGCCCCUUCUUCCGCAUUUCUGUGGCUUCUUCUAAAGUCAAACCCUCAGGGGCUCGUUUGACCAACCUUGGGUAUACAGGAGUAACAGGUUUCCACAACAUAAGAGGAAAACGCGGCCGAGUCUUAUAAUUAUAGUUUCUACCACGGAAUAGGUAUAUCACUCCCCCUCUACUAUAUAUGACUUGUCCACCUGUUUUCUCCUGUUGGAUGAUGAACCGCAAAAGGAUGUUAUGCCUCUCCAUGAUGUUGCAAUUAGACAAGGCAAACAUUAUGCAGCUAAAACAUGCACAACCUAAGGGGGGAUUAAAAAAAAAAGCAGAAUUUUGAUCCUUCAAUUCUCUGUAUUCUCCUUCCACCAGUCAUCUACUAGUAGAGACCAGGGCAAAUACUAGGCAACUAUGACAGGACAAGAACGACAUCAUCAUGCUUGAUAACAGGAAUAUCAAGGAUCAUUCUUGAAAAUUCAAUCAAAUAGUGGACUAAAUAUUUAACCUUCCAAUUACAUGCACAAUUUUAACAUCUACUUGGUUUUAAACAAUUUAAGGAGGGAAUCAACCCAAGUUCCUUGUUAAGCAAAAAUCAAGCAACUAUAAACUCCACUAUUUUAUAGUUUGGGUUCUUAAAUGACAGCCCAGACACAGCUAUUCACCAAGAUGACUCUUAGCAAAAGAAAAAAAAGAACAGCUACACAUCACAUGGAGGGGAAUAGGUAUACUUUCUAUAAAAUCAGCAGAGUAAUUCUUAUAGCACAUGGUUUAGCUCUAAUGAAAAGUUAAGAGCUUCAUGUACAUUAAACAAGGCGGAACACAAUUCCUUAACAUUGCUCAUACUAUACUAAAUACCAACAGGAAGAGUUGCAUAAGGCAAAACUAUUCAAGUAUGAAGCAAGUAUCAUAUUAACAAAAGGAAGAUUAAAUGCAAUCAAAGAAAAGACAAAAUAAGAUAACUUUUAUGUAUGUGUAUUUCCCAAUAAACGUCGAACCUCUAACUGUUGGCGAACAUUUUCCAUGUCUACGGUACACACACCCUUGCAUUUUAUCUUGCACACCCUUCUUCGCUUCCAGUGAGCAUGUAUGUUAUCCAACAUGUUGUGCGUAAAACCAUCUCUUCCUAAAAACCAAAGGCACUGGCAUGUUAACAAAAAGGUCACACCCAUAGUAAGAAGAAAUCCGAUUUCAUUCACUGCUUGGCUAAAUUCAAGACACGCAGCAGUUUUCCUCGAAACCAGAAAUAGAAAAUUUCUUGUUCAGUUAAACAUCAUUACAGUUCCAGAAAAUCUGGUUCACCACAAAUCAAAAUUUCACCAAUCAAUAACUAAACGCAGAUAAUGAAAAUCCUGUUUGGAUUGUGGUUUAUUUGUCAAAAUAUAUUUGCUUACAUCAUCAUUACAAUUUUCAACACACCUUUUUAUCUUUUCAAUUACUUUUUUAUUUCACGUACAUCGCAUCACAAAAAAAAAUUGCCGCGGUGAAAAUAUCUCUAAUAAUUCACAAUCCAAACAAACCCGAAAACUUGAAUACAGAAUGAUCAUAAUCUCAUAACCUUAAUAUCAAAAAACAAGGUUGGCAUUGAUUAUUACCCAUAUUCAGCUGGCGCUUCCAUUUCUUGCAGCUUUCAACAAGCGCUUUAAUCUCCUCUUUGGUCAAGGGCUCCCCCAAUAUCUGCUCUCUAGACUUCACAUACAUUGGCCCAGUUCCCGGCAAAAAUGGGCCCGGUGCCUGGACGGGCUUCACACCCUUUUUAUGAGGUGGAGGGAGCUGAAAAGAAUCAAAUUCCGGCAGUUUCUUUUUACUCGGCGGCAGCGGCUUCCGCCCCGUCCACGGCCUCCCCAUAGUACCUGGCUCAAAUGGCGCCACAAGCGGCUCCCUGAUCCCCACCGGCUUCACCUUGGGCGUCUCGGUAUAACUAUACUGAUAAAGAAAUGGAGCUUCAGGAAAUUCAUAUGACAACCCUUUUUCAUCAAUUUUGACGUUGGGAGCAAAUUUUUCUUGUUCUUCAGCUUUAGUACUUUCGUCAGUCGUUCGGCUAGGAUUAAUUCUUUUAACUGGUAUUUUUUUGUGUUUAAGGACGGGUUUAAAUGCGGGGUGAUCAAAGGGAAGUCUAGGUUUUUGUGGGUUUUUGGAGUAUUUCGACUUUUUGCCCGGAAUUGAAGGGUGGGAAGGAGAGGAAGGGGUGCCGGUGGAUUUAAAGGUAGGGGUGGGAGGUGCCGGGUUGUAAUUAUGGGCAAUGUUGAAGGCGGAAUCGAAGCGUCUUUGGGAGCGGAUUUGGUCUUCAAUUUCCUUUUGGGUGCGUUCGCGGCGGAUGAAUUUCUGAGCGUUGGCGUUGUUCCACCGUGAGAAGCGGACUUCAAAGGCUGGGCGGUGGUUUGGAGCGCUGGGUGGUGGUGGGACGAAUACCGGAAACUGGAUUACUGGUCUCAAGGCCAUUUUUUGGCUGAAUAUUCCUCAAAAAAGCUUCAAACUUUGAUCAAUAUAAGCAUAAAGCUAUAAUUUGCCCCGACGGAGGGAGACGUUUCUAUUUUCCAGUUCAACUCCUCCUUCAGCUUUAGCUUCAGCUGGGUCGAGCAAAUACUUGCUGGGAAGUAAGACAAGAUGGUUUCUUGAACUGGAAAUCAGGUGAAAUGCCGAGGGUAGUUUCGGCAGGACGAGACUACGAUUUUUGUUCCCCUUUGGGUAAAAAGGGAAAAUGGCCAAUUUAGUCCCCAUACUUCUUUUUACUAUCAAUUUAGUCCUUACAUAAUUUUGUUGGCCAAUUUAAUUCCUAUACUUAUUUAUCGGUUUCAAUUGAGAACUCCGCGGCGACACCACCUUGUAAUUCCGAUCAUUAUUGUAAUUUCGCGGCGGAAAAAAAAAUUUACUGAUAAUUAUUGGAAUAAAUUUAACCAUAACCAGGAUUUUCUCUUUAUUCACUUGAUUUCAUGAAACUAGAACAUUUCAAAACCCCCUAAUUCUCAAAUUAGUAUUUUGGAAAGCUCAAGGAACCAAAAGAAAAAAAAAUUUACCAAAUUCAAAACUCAUAACGUUUAACCAUGAGUUUCAAAUUAAUUACUAAAUCAAAACUACUUGACAAGUAUUUAGAAUUUGUAUAACUUUAUUAAUAAAAGAAAAGAAAAGAAAAAAAAAAUCCUUUCAUCCAACUUAGAGCACGAGAGAACAAGUGCAUUUUAUAUUUACUAAAAAUAGAAGUAACAAAGGUCAUCAUACGACGUCGGAUUGAACUUUUACUUCAGUUCGCUGUGAUUAUCUAUCCGUAAGUGUGGAGACAGCUGAGUGCAAUUAUGGAAUGGUCAACCUCCUCACGUUGGUUGGAAUAUUGGCAAUGGGUCUUCAGCUUUUGACUCUAUAAUUGGAGCAGCAGAUGAUAAAAGUUUUCUCAGGUAUCUUGGAACCUCUUCCUAUAAGUCGUCAACUUUGCAGGAGCUCAAAAUUUGUUGUUCUUUUAUAUUUCUGAAUAUCUUUGGCUCACCAUUUUAAACAAAAGAUUGAAUCUUUGUGGCCGUUUUGCCACUUUUAGCUAGUGUUUGAACUAUUCCUCAGCCCCUAGUAGAUUAAAGUAACUAGAAAUUUGAUAAUUUCCCACUUGAAAUCCUCGUGUGUUUGCAAUGGUAGAAUCUAGAAAUGAGUUUAAUUUCUGGGAUUCUUGACUUUCAAGUUUGCUGCUGUAAAUUAUAGCAAUAGGAAAUCGAGCCGUCUUUUUGCUGUCCUUGAGGCUUGAGCUAACUGAAAAUGCUUUACAUUCUUUAAAUUACUGGGGAUUAUGUAUCUUGCAAACUUUUAUGAAACUAAAGUUAACUGAAGAUGAGGUUGAAGGAUUGUUCAGCUGUAGUUGUGGGGCUGUAUGCUAAACUAUUGUGACUCUUACUACUAAUUAAAUUACUAGUAUUGAAACCUCUGUUAAGUUCCAGAAGCAUUGAAGUCAUCUUUAUGCAGCCCAAAAAAUGGGAAAAAAAUCCUGCCUGCCUUAUGAUUGCUGCGCAUGAUGAAUGCUUGAACUAAAUAUGAGAAUAUGAAGAGCGAAGAUUGAGUUUGGCAGGCAUGAGCAUAUUCCACGGAAGGAUCAUGAGAAAAUUGUUGAUUUGUGCUAUUAGUUCUGAAACUUAUACUAGGUGUGGAUUUAACUUCUUCCUGGAAGUAUCAAUAUUUAUUUGAUUUCUAACAAAAUUCAAAACAUUUGAAAAAAUUACCAUAAUUUUGUUGGAUAAACCAAAAUCAAAGGUAUAACUUGUAGGCCUGUAGAAUUUACUUGUGUUCAUGCUUCAUAUUUGUUGUUCCAGGACAUGGGAUGAAUCUGGCGGAUCAGUUUUUUAGUUUCGGUGCUGCAUCCAAGUCAAUCAACCUUACAGUCGUUUCUUGGUUAGCUGUUACUGUGUAGCAUGAGAAACAGGUCUCAGAUGGAGAGAAUGUGUACUGUCAGAAACCAGAGAUUGUUUUAUGUGGUUGGCAUUAUUACCAUCCUUAUAAUUCUUUCUCAGAUUUUGGUAGUUCCGUAUCAAAACUACAUCUCAGUUCCAUCACAUGCAAAUAUCAGCUUGAUUUUUAGCAAAACCAUCCUUUCAAAUGUUUCGCAACAGACCAAUGCAGAUGUUUUUAAUGGUAAGGCCAAUGACAACAGUGCUUCUGGUUGGGAUGAAGAUGCUCUCAUUGUGCAAGAAGAAGAAGGAUCGCAUCAAGGCCACAAUAUUUCAACGGAGGUGGGAGGACAGACAGGUGAUUACUUGGAGAAGGAGAGACAGUUACCAACUCAGUUCACAUCUGGCCGGGGAUCAACAUCUGAUAAAAUUGCAAAAAUGAUGUACUUAAAUGAACCAGAGGACAAUCCUAUACUAGAGGGCCUAGAAACUGGACUUGAGUUCACAGAGCACGUAAAGAAAUUAAAAGAUGAUGUUUCCGAAAGCCUUGCCCCAGGUGAAAUUGCAAAUUUGACAAAAGGAUCAAUCAGAAGUGUAGUCAAUUUUAUGUCUCCAAUGGCCUUGACUACUGGAUUGGAGUCUGUUGCUGAUGCUUCAGAUGCUGCAGUACCAUACCCUGCUGUCAACAUUUCUGUAGUACACACUGACAAGAAAGAUCUUGACUUGGAAUCCCACAAACAAGGUGAUAGCUUACUACAAGCUGGUUCACUUUCACCAAAAGAUAGCUCGGGAAUGUUUGGCAAACCUUUCAUAAAGAAGAAUAAUAGAAGGACAAAAUCCAUAUCUGACAUGACUAUCUUGUUGCAUCUUGGCUCUCCACCUGCAAAUUUACCGGUAAUUUGGAUUAGAGAUUAUUUCAAUAUGAACAAUGGUGGUCAGUUUUCUAUUUUCUGUGUUUGAUCUCUCAGUUUAAUUUGUUAUAGAGACCAAAAUGGUUUUCUGCUCGUGACAAGGAGCUUCAAAAUGCAAGGCGUCAGAUUGAAAAUGCUCCUGUAAUAAGAAAUGCUCCUAGAGCUUAUGCUUAUCUUUUCCGCAAUUAUUCCAUGUUUGUAAGGUGGGUAAUUUACAUGCUAGCUUUUCUUAUACCCAUUACUCCCAGAAAUUGGUAAUUGAUUUUUUUUUUUUUUUUGACUUCAAAUUGAAUUCUACAUUAGUAUAUCAUGUGCUUUAAUUUUCUUCAAGACACCUAUUCUAUUUGUAUUGUGUUAUGUGCUCUGCAACGCUUACACAGAAAUUUUCAAUAUUCUAUCUGAGUCAAAACAUUGAUUCAGAAACCUAUAUGUCCGGGCAUGUCUUGGGGAGUCGAAGCUUUAGCCUUGAAUACGAAAUUACCAAUUUAAUAGUUAGAUUGAAGCUAUCUUAUGUAGGUCUGACUCCUCCUAAUGUGUGUAGCAGAAGUUAUGAAUUGAUGGAGCGUGUGCUCAGAGUGUAUAUUUAUAAGGAAGGGGACAAACCGGUAUUUCAUCAACCACAUCUCAGGGGAAUUUAUGCUUCUGAAGGAUGGUUCAUGAAACUGAUGGAGGGUAAUAGGCAAUUUGUCGUUCGGGAUCCCAGAAAAGCACACUUAUUUUAUUUACCAUUUAGUUCUCGAAGGCUGCGGAGUGUUCUGUAUCAACAGAACUUCACAAGUCAUAGGGAUUUAGAGAAUCAUCUGAAGAACUACGUGCAUGUUAUAGCUAGUAAGUACCGCUUCUGGAACAGAACCAAAGGAGCAGAUCAUUUUCUAGUUGCUUGCCAUGAUUGGGUACGUGGUGAAUUGUUUAUGGCUGGUGGUAGGAAUAUGAAUUAACCUCCAUGAUGUCAUUGAUGAAUUCAAUAUCAAACUUGAUGCUUUUUUCUGGCUGUUAAAUUCUCUGGCUACAAGAUGAUACUUGCACUUGAAAUCUAGAACUCUCUAGGAGUUCAAGCUUUUGACUCCUCUAGAUUUUUUGGUUCAAGCUUUUGAUCCCUUUGGAUGUUUUGCAUGCAUGCAUUACCUGUCAUCCUGCAACAGUUUGGUGAAAAGCUUUUAGUCCAUUUAGGAUGGCCAUUCUUGUUGAUUGUAUUGUUGUAACUCAAUAAAUUAUCAUCAAUGUAGUUACUUCAUCAAAGAAAAUUCAGCAUUUUAACAUUUCCCCUUAGCAUAUGUUUUGAACAGAUGGUAAGCUUGUUCCUCAACGAAGAAAAAUUUUUUGUUGUAGGGCCCAGGUUUCACAAGGAAUAGUAUGGGAAGUUGCAUUAGAGCCCUCUGCAAUUCCAACAUUGCUAGAGGUUUUGAAAUAGGGAAGGAUGUGUCUCUGCCGGUUACCUACAUUCUUUCAGCAGAGAACCCUCUAAAAGACCUUGGAGGGAACCAGCCUUCGGAGAGGCCUACUUUAGCCUUCUUUGCGGGGGGCAUGCACGGUUAUCUUCGUCCUAUCUUGCUACAGUACUGGAAGGACAAAGAGCCAGAUAUGAAGAUUUUUGGGCCAAUGCCUCGUGAUCCCGACGGCAAACAAAGAUAUAGAGAGUUCAUGAAAAGCAGCAAAUAUUGCAUUUGCGCUCGGGGCUACGAGGUGCACACCCCGCGGGUUAUAGAAUCCAUAUAUUAUGAAUGUAUUCCUGUAAUCAUAUCAGAUAACUACGUGCCUCCCUUCUUUGAGAUUUUGGAUUGGGAAUCAUUUGCCGUCUUUGUAUUAGAGCAAGAUAUCCCAAACUUGAGGAACGUACUUCUCUCGAUUCCUGAAAAGAAGUAUAUAGAGAUGCAGAAUCGAUUAAAGAUGGUGCAACGGCAUUUUCUCUGGCACAAAGUUCCUGUGAAGUAUGACUUAUUUUACAUGAUCCUUCACUCCAUCUGGUACAACAGAGUUUUCCAGGUAAAAUCUUGAUCUUGAUGAGGAAGUCCAGAUUACUGGAAAAAGGUUUCAGCUGUGGAAAACAUCACAGGGACGAAGCUAGUGAUGCAAUCCGUGAUUAACAAGAAUUUUAAAAUUAGCUGAAGAUCCACCCAGGAUGACAUAAUCUUGAAGAAAAGCACUAUUGCGAAAACCAUGAUGACAUUAUUAUUAUUUUCUUGUAUAGUAGGUGGUGGAUUAGUUGUUUCGUUUUGGCUCCAUGGAACUUGUCAUUAUUGUUUUUGUAUAUUGACAUUUUUGUGUUACUUUCAGCAGAUAAAAAUUCGUCACAGAUUUGGCCCCUUUUCUGCCGCCCUGCCCGUGGGUACUUGGGCGUUUGAACUUGUAAUUGAUCUUUCAAUUAUUUAGUUACCCUUUACUGAUUGCGCAAUUUAAUUAAUUACUAACAUUUAUCUUUGCAAAAAAGUCAGCCAACUUUAUUUAAUUUACCCAUUUGACACUUUUCUUUUUAUGAUUCUGCGUGUGAUAGUCAUGCACUAUUGGUCUUAGUUCAUAAAUUAAGCAGAUUUCGUUCGGGAUUAUGUGAAUUAUCUUAUCUUUUCCUUUUUCUUUUUAUUUUAUUUAUUUAUUUAUUUUAAUAAUUAUCUUAUCUUAAAUUCUUUUUCUUUUCUAUCACUCAACCCAAUCAUCCCUACUGACUUAUCAACCAAAAUCAAAAUCCUUUUUUAGGUUGAACAAAAUAUUAAAGUCGCCAGAUUGAAAAACAAUACAAUAAACUAAAUUUAUCUUAACAAAAACACAACCAAAGAAAAAAAGGAUUUGUCUAAUGAAUUUGAAUUCAAUAAAAAGAGUGUCUACACUUGAAGGGACAUAGUGUGAGCGUACUAAACAUCAGUGUCUAUUGAUAAUUAAUUGAAAGAUAAAUAUUUGAUUAUACAAUAAUUAACUAGUAGUAUAAGAUAAUGUUCAAAAUCUAGUAAAGGGUGUCGUACUACUUUUUACAAGUCAAAGCCAAAAAAUUCUCUAAGUACGAAAAUAAGGGAUAAUUUCACAAACCUCCGUUGGUUGAGGUUUCUGACACUUGCAUUAACACCCCAUGAGGUUUUAAAAAUUUCGCUGCAACGUGAUUAAGUUGUUUGAGUGUGACAGAGUGAAUCUGCAGUGCUUGCAGCAAUAUUUCAAAUAGGAAAAUUUGUCAAGUUGGUCCCUAAUAUUUUUACAAAAAAAAACUUUUUUUGUCUCCAACAUUUAAAAUCAGCCAGAAUCGUCCCUAACAUAUAAAUUAUGAUCCAUUUUAAACCUAAUGCUCAUAUUUACUCAUUUUUUUGACUAAAAAUAGCACGCCUCUCUCACGUGGAUAUAUUUUUAAGGGCAAAAUAAAAAAACACACUUUAUUCUCGGUUGAAAGCAAUAGUAUCCCUUUUCAUCUUUCGCCCUAAAAUUACAGUCACAAGAAACCCUAAUUUUCCCCCCGAAUCUUGAGAGGAAACAUAUGAAAAAGGCAUUGUAUACCCAAUGUUGAAUAGGGCUCCUUUUUUUUUUUUGCUUUCGUGCGAAGCAGACACCAAGCACCACAAGACCAAUUGCCAGAAAGCCCACAAAUCCAAUUGUCAUGACAACUCCACCCUUCAUGCCCCCACCAUUUCUAGAUAUUGUGAUUGCAGUAAUAUUUAGAGCAAGUGUAGUUAAUCUUGCAGUGGGUUUCUCAGGGGCAAUUGUUGGUAAGAUUGAGCCAGUUGGAGCAUCAGAUUGGGAUGCAUUAUUCCGGGAGGCAGGAGGAGAAGGUAGAAUAAGAGAUGCGGUGAUGGGAGAAGGAGACGCCAUCGAAAGUGGAGAGGAAUUUAACAAGGGUGGAGCCUGGAAAGAAGCAGGUGAUGGUGGAGGAGGUAAUGCAAGAGAGGGAGGGCUUGUAAGUGGUGACUUUAUAGUGAGAGGUGGUGGAAAAACUGAGGUAUAUGUUGAUGGGACUGCAAUUGACCGAGGAGGAGAGGGUGAAAGACCUGAAGGGGGAGGUGUUAUGCCAAAGAAAGGGAAAGGUGAUGGUUGUGGGGAAGGAGGGGUGACAAGUUUACAGAUGCAAGAGGGGCAGCACGGGGUGGCGGUGGUGGCACAGACGGAAGGGGAGGGAUGGACGAAGAAGGUAAUGAAGGGAAGUGGGCGGUGUUGAUAAUGAUGGUGGUGAUGAUUGGGAUUGGGGAGGAGGGGAAAGGUAAGCAAGAAAGUAUGUUUUCCAAUUUUGCCGUAAAAAAUAUAUCCACGUGAGAGAAACAUGCUAUUUUCAGUUGAAAAAAUGAGCAAAUACGAGUAUUAUGACAAAAAUAGAUCAUAAUUUAUAUGUUAGAAGCGAUUUUAACUGAUUUUAAAUAUUGAGAGCUAAAAAAAUUUCUUUUGUAAAAAUAUUAGGGACCAAUUUAAAAAAUUUUCCUUUUAAGUAAUAAUAAUAAUAAAAAAGUUGCGGCCAGAAAGUAGCUCAAUAAUGGCUACUUCCCGUGGGUCCCAGAUGCAGCCAAUUCAUUCAAAAUUAAAGGGAUAAUUGCAGAAACCUCCCCUGAGGUUUCUACUAUUAACAUUGACAUCUCCUAUCAAUUUUGAAAUAGUAUUGACCUCUCUUAAAAAAAGUUGGAACCAAUUUAAAAGGUAAAAGUGUGUGAAUUUACUAGAGUACCCCAAUUGGAUUUAACUUUACCAGAUGAAAGGUUUAAUUACUUUCAUCAAAACCAACAAAUCCUUUCUUAAACAAAUUAAACUAAACAAACUAUUUCUUCUUAUUAUUAUUAAACUAAACAAACAAUUAAUAUACUAAAUUAAUCGAUCACCUAAAACAUUAUCCUAAGAUGCAUUCUCAGUCAUCGGCAUUUAUUCUUCAAUGCAAGUCUCAACUCCCAACUACCUUAAUUUGUCCAAACAAAACGUGAAAAAGAAAAUAAAAUAUUGUCCCAACGAUCAAUAAUUCAGUCAUCUACUAACUCUCCACAGAAAAAUUGGAUUAUAUAUCAAUAACUCAUGGUCGCAGCUGCAGCAAAAAAACGUGUACCUUUUACUUGCUUAUAAGUUAAUUUGCUGUGAAAAGAAGCAGGACGUAAAUUUGAUUACAGGGAACUCUUUCUUCCCGCAUUAGAAUGAACCAGUAUCGCACCAUUGGAGCUAAGUUCUUGUUACGCGUAAGCUGAUUCCAAAGUACAAUGAAUAUCGCAUUUGACCUUACAAUAACUCUACCAGCUGCGUAUGCUUUAUGUACGCACUUGUAUCAGGUAACCUAUAUAUGUUAGCACUAUUUUGAAUAGUUUUAGUUUUUUGUUUUACACUUGUAACUCAAUUAUUGAAUGUCAGUGUUGCAGAAUCUGAAGUUAUUUUCACCUUAAAAUUAAUUGGCAAACACUCCCUCUUACCCUUGACUUGAGCUGAACAGAUUAAUGUGACUUGCUAAACAGGUCAAGCGGACUAGAUUUAUAAUCAAGACAAAAUUUACUAGUUAAGACAAAAAAAAAAAGGCUAAAUGAAUCAGAGCAUUUUCAUAGCAAAAGUCUAUGAAACCAAGCUCAAUACAUAGAGUUCGAGCCGUGUGUGAUGGAACAUGAUCAAGUACUACCUUUGAAAACAUGUUAAAGAAUAUAAACUUUUACUUCAAAACCAAUUGGGAAUGAAUAAAGUAACCAUUGUUAAUUAGUUUAGUUGGUCUUGAUUAACUGACGGGAAAAUUAGAAUGUAUAACGGCCACCAUUUAGCUUCUUCCUUCCCAUCUCCUCCCUUCUUUUUUUUUCCAUUUUUCUCUUUAGCCAAAUAGAUGAAGUUUGUUUUUUUGUCUUCAAACAACUAGAUGAAAAUGUGAAUCCAAUUAAGAUGAUGCAUCUUGAAAGGCUUAACAAUUUUAAAGAAAUGAAAUCUAUGUCUAAAUUUUCCACUACUACUUUCAGAUUGUCAAACAAAACUUUGAAUGAAACAUUUAGAUUAAAAAAUCUCCUACAAACAAAGAGAACGUACGUGUAAUCUACUUUCGCUAUUCUUUGCAAGACAACUUGCGGUCAGUUUCAUGCUCAGGCCAUGGAAGUGCCUACCUAGAUGGCUUAGUUUUAGAUGGUGGAAAACCAGUUUGUGAAUGUACUGGGUGCUAUACAGGCCAUGAUUGUUCAGAGCUUAUGCCUGACUGCAUUGCAGACGCUGAUAGGUAUUAGUCUAACCACCAAUAGAACUAGAGCGGGGGGAGGGAGGGUCAAUUGCCCAAGGUCUGAAAAUUUGGGUUUUAUACCGUUGUGAAUUCUAGAUUGAAUUUUUUGAAAUCCUUUCUCCAGUGGUCUAUACUUGCAAACUUUUUGAAAAGUUCUAAUACUUUUGGAUAAGCAAAAAAAUUCUACAUUAGAGUUUUAGUUGAUGAAUCAGAACUGUAGCUCUUACGUAUGUUGAAUUGGACUGAAAAAACGUUGAAAUCUAAUCUUGACUCUCUUGGUUGCAUGCAGAGGAAACCCGACGUUCUUAGAGCCUUUCUGGAGAAAGAAUGCAUCAAGUAGUGCAAUUAUGGUGGCAGGAUGGCAUCACAUGGGCUAUGAAUUUGAAGAUGGUUCACUAACAUCUAAAAAACAGGAGAAGCAAAUAUGAAAGCUGCAUGCUACAACCGGAAAUGCAAUCAUAGAUGGAAAAUACAUAGUCUUUGGCGGUGGCUCGACUCAAUUCCUUAGUGCAGCAGUAAAUGCUCUUUCAUCCAAGGUUUCAUCAUCACCUACAAAGGUCGUUGCAUCUGUGCCAUAUUACCCGGUUAGUCAUUGAAAACAUCAAGUGAAUUAUCAUCUCUAACACUUGAAGCCAAAUCUGGUCAAGAAUUAUAUGUUACUCUUGUUUAAUGCUUGAUGAAGUUAAUCAUUUUCUAUUACUACUGAUAGGGUGUUAAUUGUUAGUUAUUUUAUUGUUAUUUUCCCCUUUGUCCUUGCCAAAUAUUGCUUUAAUUGUUAACAUAUACUUAUAUUUGGUAUUUGAACCUAAUUUCAGGAAAUGGGGCAAAAAAGUGCUAAAAAAUGGAGAUCUUUUUGAGACAAAUACUCCAUACGUGGGAAGUGCCUAAAAGUAAUUACAAACCUAGCUCCACAAGAUGCUACAAACGGAUCUUCCAUCUUGGUGCUGAUAAAGAGUUGACAUAUACUAGAAGUCCUACUAGGACUACAAAACGAAAAGGAAGGAAUCUCUCGGGGAGUGAUGGAAGCUUUUUGUUGUUAAUUGUUCCUUAUCCGGUGGAGAUCACGAAGAGAAGUUAGACAAUUGUUUUAGAUUAGAAACAACUCCGUUCCUUUGGGUUUCAUCCAACUCCUUCGUUUUUAUUUAUUUUUUCCUUUUUCGUCUCUUCGAGGGGAACAUAGCUUAUUUUCGAUAAUAACUUUUGCAAUUUCGCAUGAGAUUUCCUCCAUGUAGAUGAACUAAGUUUCUCAUCUAGUCGAAAGCCAACUUAAAGACGCGGUUCCAAAUAUCUGUGAAAUCGAAUUAAUUUUAUUUAUUUCUUUUAUUCAUUGGUAUUUGUAUAUUUCCUGAUUUAAUUGCUUAUGCUUGUUAUGUUAUUUGAAUGUCAAGAGCCCGAUAUUCGAAUUAAUCUAAUGAUCUAAUGUCAAAUUAAUUGAUUGAAUCCGUAAUUGUUCAAUUGAUUAAUACUAGUGGUAACUAACGUGAUUGAUUUCAUGUUAGGGAAACGUAUGAUUUAAGUUAAACAAAUCAUCGUAGCGUGUUUGUUGGUUAGGGUUGGAUUUUUCUAAUUAUUAAUGCAAUCGAAUAAUUAAAUCCUACGGUCAUACCUAGGGUUAUUUCUUGGUUAGAGAAAUAGUUAACGGUCGUACCUUAACUUUCGAGAAAUUAAGAAAAGACUGAUUGUUCAUCGCGUGUAUGACAACUAUAACCAAUCUCGUAAUGAGUAAUUGAAUUAUCUUUGCAUCGAUAAUCAGUUGAUUGGACCGUGUCUGAAAAGUUGCACAUUUGGCUAAAGUCGUAUUGGUUAUUGAUUAAUUCUUGUUUAUUUCUCUUAGUUGUUUCAUUAGUUAGUUAAUUAGUUAUUUUAUAUUUUUCAAAAAUUUCCUAUGCGCUGUACUCUAGAAGAAACGAAUUAUCCUCAAUUCCUGUGGAUUCGACCCUACUUACCGCUAUAUACAAAAUUUGUAUUUCUCUUGAGAAUGUAAUUAUUAUUGCACAAACUCGACACCUGUCAACUAUUAUUCAAUGUUGCCUUUCGAUUGCACCAGCAAUAUUUGUUUUGUAUUGUGAAGGAUGUUGGGGAGUUCCAUGAUGCUCUCCUGUGGUUGGAAGAAGCCAUUCUCUAGGGACUGCAAUAUGACUUGAAGCUGCCAAACUGAAUGUCAAGCAAGCUGUGCAAACUGAGUUGAAAAAUUGCUGCUCAUUAUUUUGUAGUAAUCCUGGUAUUCAUGGGAGACUGACCAUCGUUUAUAAGCAAGUGCAAGGAACUGCACAAUUAGCCGUUAAGUAGCCGUUGAUUUCUCAGCAAAUGAAGUUGUUGCAGGUCUACGUCUGGAAGCAUGAUGUUGCAUUUAUACCCCCUGAACUUGCUUGAUGAUUAAUGCCUAUGCCCCUCCCUUGUUAAUAUUACUUGUCAAACAAGAUCAGGACAAAUUUGAAAGAAAUUUCUUAUCUCACUUCUACAAAUGAAUUUUUAAUGGGACAUCAAGCUGCCUGGACUGAUUUUGCAACAUAUUGUUCCUGUUUAGGGGUGCUGUAUGCCAUUUCUGAACUUAAAGGGGAGGUCAGUGCAAGUGUCAGUAGUUUCAGGGGAGGUUUCUGCAAUUUUCCCAAAAUUAAAAUAUCAGCAAUAAGCUAAACUUUCGCCAUUUGAAUAUUCUCCUCCUGUAACUAUCUUACUCAAGCAAGCAGGAAAAUUGCUUAAGAUCAAUUAAUCCAAAAGCAUUAAAUAAAAAGAAGAAGAAGACAGCUCAAACAAAACGAUUAUCACAAAGUUAAACGCAAGCAGAGAAAAAAUCUUUUUUCGUUUGGUCUUAUAACUCUGGAUGGAUAAGGGCUCUCUGCUACAGAGUAUCUACUUGUCUAAUAAGUGAUUACUAAUAACAAGGAAAUCUACUAAGGGGGCGCUUGGUUCAAGUUUAGGAAUUGAAAUUGUAAUUGGAAUCAUAGACUCUGGUUUUGGAAUUAAAAUUUUUCAUUCCAAUAUCUUGCUUGGUUCACACAUUGGAAUUAGCAUUAUUCCAAUUCCUGAUGCUUGGUUUGAUGAGUGUUUCGGAAUUAAAUGCAAUUAAAUUCCAAAUUUACCCCUGAUAUAACAAUUCUUCUAAAACAAAAGAAUUACACAUACGACAAAUUAACAUUUUCAUAAUUGUAACUACAAUAGUUAUUAACUUUUUGAUAAAACAUAAGAAAAUCAUAAAUAAUAAAAAAAUUAAUACCAGAAAAUAAAUAUAGUGGCUGCAUUAACAAGGAGUAAAUUCCCAAAAAAAGGAGUUUUUAAACAAUCACCCAAAAGGUGAUGAUUUUUUAGUCUCUUCCCAAAGGGUGAAAAAUGCAUCCAAGGAAUGUGUUCUUCCAAAUAAAAACGCAACUUUCAAAUACGUUAUUUUAUGUUUUGGAAAUUUAUUUAAAUAUGAAAAAUUGGUUAAAUAGCCCAUAAGAUACCAGCUCUUUAUGGAAAAUUGGCAGGUUUUGUACCAGCUUUAUGGAAAAAUUUGAUUAAAUAGUGCCCAAAGGAAAACUAGUAUGUUUUGUAUUUAACAUAAAUUAAAUAUGUGAAAGUUAAAAAAACAAAAUUACCCAUAAGAUACCAGCUCUUUAAGGGAAACUGACAGGUUUUGUAGUAUGUUUUGUACCAACUCUUUAUGGAAAACAUACCAAUUCUUUAUGAAAAAAAUUGAUUAAAUAGCGCCCAAAGGAAAACUAGUAUGUUUUGUAUUUAACAUAAAUUAAAUAUGUGAAAGUUAAAAAAAAAAAGAAAUUACUCAUAAGAUACCAGAUCUUUAUGGGAAAUUAGCAGGUUUUGUAUUUAAUACGCUAUUUAACCAAUUUUUUAUAUUUAAACAAAUUUACGAAAAUUAAAAUAACGUAUUUGAAAGUUGCAUUUUUAUAUUAGAUAAUGAUAUGAAAUAGAUCUCUCCUUACAUAUAUGAACAAAAGAAGGAGACUCAAAUCACAAAAGCUAACCAUACCAAAUACAAGUCAAUUGUCUAAUCCAGUCGAGAGUGCCACUCAAUGUCCACAAUCUCCAAAAGACUAAUCAUAUAACCAUCUAACAAUCACCAUAACAAAAAGAAAUUGCCAUCAAAUCAUCACUUUCCAGCUAACAAUAAUUUUACUUCAGCGAGUAGAUGGAGGAUAAAGGAGGUUAAUUACAUAUUGUCGUUUCAUUUCUGCAGGAAGAUUGUAGAACACAUGAAGCUUGGAAAUCUGCUCCGAAAGUAUGUCGGCUGCAUUCAUUACAUCUCCACUCGGUAAAGCAAGUUUCAUUAACUCAGCAACAACUUGAUCUCUUCUAUCGGAGACCAAUUGCUCACGUUUAUCCUCAUUUGACAUGGCUGCUGCCAUAGUUGUGAAAUUAGCUUGAAUUCCCUCCACGAAAUCUCCAAAUUUGCUGGUGAGAAGUUGCAAUGAUGCAUCAAGAUCACCCCUUGUUGUUGAUGCAGAUUUCAUUUUUUUUGACACAUUUGCAAUGGGAGGGGAUUGUUUCUUUUGUUUCUUGGAAUUUCUUGUACUUGUUGAGCUUGGUUGAGUUGAUUGCUCUAUGGAAUUUACUUCAUCUUCUUCUACCUUAUCAUUAUCCGAGUUUGACAUAGCAUCAAGCCCUUCAUGUCCUUCCUCCAAAUUUUGGACAUCUUCCAUAUCUUGGACAGCUUGUGCAAAAUCUUCAGCAACAUUUCCAGUGGCUCUGUCUCUUCCAUAUACAAUUUCAAGAUCUCCUAAAUAUGGAAAUUUGACAUCCCAAAGGCCCUUCGCAUCCUUAUGAGUCUAGAGAUAGAAUAGAAAGAUAAAUGAUAAUCUUAAUAAAAGGUUGAAAAAGAACAUAUCAGAAUGUAAAAAGUAAUCAAUUUCUUACCUUGCACCAAUCAUCAUACCACUGUUUUUCACAAGAAAUCUUUUUCUCAGCAUCAUUCCAACUACAACCACUUUCUUUGCACAUUUCAACAAUUGCAUGGAACCUAUUUUUCAGCCACUUAACUUUUGAUUCAAUAUGUGGGCUGACUUGUUUGGUAAAAGUAGGUUGCUUACGCAAGAUAAUUUUAAGCAAUUCGCUCAUAUAAUUAUUUUUAAAUCCUCCAUCUGAUUUUCACAUUGGAUCACAAGCCAACUCUUGCAAUGAUUCUAUGAGCACUUUUACCUCUUCACCAGUCCAAAAACAUUUAUUUUUCCCUCUUCCACGUACAAUUUCAUCAUUCUCCAUCCUAUCAUUUAGAAGUCAACCCAUAUAUAUCAAUUAAUUUUGAUACACAAUAGCAUAUAACUGAAAUUUAUAAUAUAACAAAACACAUAAAAGAACAUACAAUUAAAAGUCAAUCCAAAUUUAAAAGAACAUACAUCAAGUGUCAAUCUAAUUCACAAAUCCACUACAAGAGUACAUCAAAUGUCAAUCCAAAUUUAAUAAGUCUAAGAGCUAAACAUCCAUUCAUAGCUAAAUACUAAGUCCAGCCCUCCAAUUGUCAAACAUUUCAUGUGCUAAAUUAUUUCUAAAAUUUGCCCAUUGAUCACUUGGCAAAAUAGUGGAUAUACACUCUACUUCUUCAUCACUGUCUUCAUCUUCACUUUCAUUUUCUUCACUUUGUAGUAAUUCUUGUGGAUCAAAAGUCAUGAACUUCCUUAUCAAGUUGUGCAGCAGACAACAUGCCAUAAUUAUUCGCACUUGUCUUUGAAUUGGAAAAAAUGAAGGGGAUGCUAGAAUCUUCCACCUUCCUUUUAGUAAUCCAAAACAUCUUUCUAUGAUAUUUCUAGCUUUAGAAUGUUUCAUGUUGAAAUAUUCCUCUGGUCUUUGUGGUCGAUAACCAUUGAAUUCAUUAAGGUGAUAUCUUUGCCCUCGAUAAGGGGCAAGAAAUCCAUCAGCAUUACAAUAUCCAGCAUCCACCAAGUAAUAACAACCUUCAAAAUUCAAUCAUGUACAAAUUAAUACUAGACUACCUUAUUUUCGAAAAAAAAUUGAUUGAAUGGUAUUGAAUACUGCAAUAUAUGUUUACCUUGUGGGACUCUAAGACCAUUUGGUCUAGAGAUAGCAUUUCGAAGCACACGACCAUCAUGUGCCGAACCUUCCCAACCAGGCAAGACAUAGAUAAAUUGCAUAUUAGGAGAACAAACCCCUAAUACAUUCGUUGCAAUACUUCCUUUUCUCGUUCGGUAUCUUGAUUUUUGUUCGGUGGGUGGUGUCACAUCUAUUAAUGUCCCAUCUAAGGCACCUAAACAAUUCUAUUUUAACAAAAAUAAAAAAUAUAAAUGAGUUAAAAUGUCUAUAUUGGAUAGUUUAGAUGAAAACAUACAUUUUAUUAAAUGAUUGUAUUUUAAUAUUUGAAUUACCUUAAAACAUUUCCAUCUCUCAUCCGUGCAAUCUUCGGUAAUAGGCUCAGGCUUCUUAAGUAAUAUAGUAUGCAAUUUCAAAACUGCUAGGAGGCAAAGAUUAAAUUGACGACUCACCGUUUCUCUACUUCUCCAAAAUAGACCACAAAUUGUUCUACUUUUCUUGUGGUGAGCCAAAACAUAUACAAACAUGGCAACAAUUUCUUCUAUUGACAUGUUUCUUGUAGCUUUCAAACCUCCAGUGUCUCUAAUCAUUUCACAUAAUAUCCCAAAUGUUCGUCUAUCCAUAUGAAGUUCGCUAAUACAAUAAGCAUCACUCUCCCUAGUCAAAUUGAAUAAGUGUUGCAUGCGCUCAGUGACUUUUUCUUCUUUUGAUUUUAUUUGGCGUCUUCUACUUUUGAGAUGUAUGAAUAUUAACUGGUACCACAUCAUAAACAGUGCAAUAACAACCAUUAUCAUUCCUGAUAAAAUCUGGCUUUGCCCUCGAUAUUUUUUGCGUCUUCUGUUUUCAAUAGGCAAACGUGGCAUCUUUGUCUACAUAACAAUAUGACAACCAAACGUAAGUAUUCACCAAACUAGAUUACAGCAUCAAAAUCUUCAAAUGCAUUAAACAUCAAUUGAUCUUAUUAAAAGGGCCUAGACAUGCAUCAUACAUCCGUAAACACAAUGAUGUAUAGAUAUAAAUAAGCAUAAACAAACGAAAUUGAUGGUUGAAACUUGAAAUCCUAAUGUACGAAUAACUAUGAAACUGAAAGCUAUUCAAGCAGACAAUUUUACAAACAGGUACAGGGCAUGUAGAAACCCACCCAAACUAUACCAGUAUUCACGGAUCAAAUAACCAAAAGAUCAAGAAUUGAUUGACCUCCAUUGAAUGCGAAAUCCAAGAAAACACAUUAAAAACAUAAAAAUGACAAAUCUAGUGACAUUAACAUUUAUCUCACCAAAAAAAAGAACAAAAUAAUGUAUUUGUUGAAGUAAGUGAAUUAAAAUACAUGUAUUACAACAAAAUACAUGGAUUAAAAACAUGUAUUAUUCUCACCAAUAAUAGUGUAUUUGUUGCGGAAAUAAUUUCUUAUUGGAUUUUGUAACAAAAGAAUAUGAAUUCAUGGAAGGAAGACUUUUUUGCAAAACAGAGAAGAUUUGGUCCAGUUAGUGUUAUUGUAUCAGAUUCCCUUCUUUUCUUCUUUAUUUUCAGCUACCCAGUGAGUAGCCUGAAAAAACAGAGAAGAAGAAAGAGAAAAGCUUGCAUACGAAAAGAAAAUUGCAGAGGCAAGGGAGUUUGUAAUCCACUGACCUGGGAUCAAGGAAUUCACCCUAGUAGAAGACUCUUCAACUCUAGAAUUCGUUGUCCAAGGAGAGUCGAAAGCCACUGAUCUUUAUGGUUGUUCAACCGGUGAAGUAGAAGAGGUAGAAAAUCUGAUGAAGAAAAAGAACAGAAGGUGCGGCGUGUAAUGAAGAAAAAAAGAGGGUAGGUUCGUCAUAAAUAUUUUUGCUCGGGAAUGAGUUGAGGGUUUUGUCCAAAACCUCCCAAUUUACUCAGGAAUGGUGAAAGUCCGAUUUUUUAGAAAUGAUUCCAGAAAUUGCAUUCCAAUAGACUUAACUCAAGCAACAAAUAAGGGGUUCGUUCCAUUAUUUGAUUCCCAUACCCUUUAACCAAGCAGCCCCUAAGUGUUUUAAAGCCCUGAGUGAUGGUGGGUGGUUACGUUUUCCACUCGAAUGUUGUGUACUACUUCUUGUUUCUUGUGGCUGUCUAGCUUAGUUUAUUAUCAAGGCACAGUAUCUUUUCUUUUCUUAGCUAAACCUAGGACUGUCAAUGGGGCUGGGUCAGCCCGAGCUCGGCUCGUUCGGCCCGACAGAAAGCCCGAUGAGCCGAUCAUUUAGUGAGCCGGUCUGAGCUUGAGCCUAAAAAUUAGGCCCGAAUUAAAUGUGAGCCGAGCUUGGGCCUUAUUAGGCUCAUACCCGAUAUAGGCCCGGCCCUUUAAUUACCUAUAUAUAUAAUAUUUAUAUUUUGAUAUUAUGUAUAAUUAUAUAUCCAAAUAUAUUUUUGCUAAAUACUAAAUAUAUAUAUAAAUUACAAAACACAAAAACACAUCUAAAGACUCUUUCAUGAGUUUUCUUGAGAGCCAAUAUUAGUAAUGCAUAACUAAAUCUCUAAUUUUUCUUAUUGGUUGAGUAACUUUUUGUAUUGGCAUAUUAUUGGUUGAUUUUUUUUUUUGGUCUACAAACACAAAAAUCAUCAAGCAUAUUUGGAUUUAAAUCACAAGAUUAUAAAAAAAAGUUUCAACUUUUAAAGAUGUAUUGGCCUAUGAUUGCAUGUUUUAUUACUAUUUUUCAUGCAUUUUAAACAGAUUACAUAUAAAUAUUGUUGAAAAAAUUUUGGUUUAUAUACUUUUUAAGAACUAUUAUUUGUUCAUGUUUAGUUUUAAUAUUAUAGUCUUGUAAAUGUUAAAUUAGUUUUACAACUUAAUAGUUAUAGUAAUUAUAUUAAGAAAAUUCAGGAGUAAUAAGUGAGCUUGGGCUAAGCCCGAUUAAGGCUCACAACCCGAAUAUUAUGUGAGUUGAGUAUGAGCUUCACAUUUACGAACCCGAAGCUCAUAGCCCGAAGCCCGAAAAUGUCUCAAAUUAAAUGAGUUGAGCUUGAACACAUCAAAGCCCGGCUCAUUAGGCCCGAUUGACAGGCCUAGCUAAACCAGCCAAAGGUCUCUCUUUCUCGAGAACCGACAGUGACGGAAAAACGGCUUCUUGGAUUUUGAUGCAUGUUGCUUCUCCAGGCUAGUGGUACUAGUACUCGAGUUUCUGCUUGCUUGGUGGUACCUCUGCUUCCUCUCUCUACACUCGGAUCACGCGCGCCGACUGAGGUACUCCUUUGAGUAUAAUACAAUUCUUGAAGAAUCCUCGGCUCCAUUUUGCGGUUUAAACCCCAAUCCUUUUGUUUAAUGCGUUUAAUAUACUUGAUUUAGUCGUUUUUAUUUGUUUGUUACGCCUUUAGCCUUAAGUCUUGCUGGUUAAUGGUGAUUCUGUGGUUGGAAUUGUGAUGGUAGUUGUUUUAGGGGAAGAUGGUUGCCAAAAAUGCGGCUCAUUUUAGGUUCUUUUGAUACUCAAUUAAGGAUCGAUUAGGCCAUCAAGGUUUCUCAUGGUCAUAAUCAAUAAGAUCUUUUGCUGGAAAAGAUUUUAGAUAUCUAAGUUGACACCCACGGACCCAUUCUGAGAUUCUGGAUGUUUCAACGUCCAAUAGUGCCAAGUUUUUUGUUUUCUUUCAUUCUUCUUCUUCUUUUUUAAUGGUGUUCUUUGACUAGCUUUUGGCAUCCAAUAGCAAUUUCAAAUUUAUGUUUUUCAGGCUAUAAUUAGUAGUUUCAGUUUCUUGAUCGCCUCGGCCCAUGGUAUACUUUUGGCUGAAUCUCUAAUAUGGAUUACACUGUCCCUAUUCGAAGGAUAUAUCAGUUUGAGAAAUGGAAAUGGCUAUUGAUGGUAGGUUUGGUGGCUGCUACUCAUUUGUUUUGUCAGUCCCUAAUACUUCCUUAUGGCAAUGCUCUUCUAUCUCUUAUACCUGACGGAACUGUACAUGAGAAGGUCGAGCUUAUUUCUAAGCAAUCAGCUGCCGCCAAGUCUGUGAUUCUUGAUGAUCCUCUUAUUGAUAAUGUGUCAAAUUUGGUCAACAAAUCUCUACUCACUCGGAGCAUCAAACGGGUGGGGCAAACAGAUGCCAUUGCUGGCAGUCGAGAUGACGAAAUAAUUAUGACCGAGGAAACUGAGAAAGAAAAUCAAGUUCUUUCUGAUAGCAAAGGCAUUGAUAAUGCUGUUGAUUUUGUUGAAGAUGCCAAUCUAGACAAUGACAUGGCAUAUGAGAUAGGGAACAAAGAUGAAUUGGAUUCAGUGGAAAGUGAUGAUCAAACUCAUGAUUUUGGUUUGGAAAACAAUGGUGAAAUUAAGGCCAGCCUGUCACUUGAACAGGUUGUGGAGCCAAAUAAUCAUACUUUAUCAGACAAAAUGCCCAGUUCGAGUAUAAUGAUGAAAACUGCAUUGACCUCCGCCAAUUCAUUGGUUAAUGUAACAUUUUCAGGAAACUUGGCAUCAAAUGUAAGCAUUGUCAAUAGUUCUAAUUUUGAUGCAUCUUUAGGGGAAAAAGAAAUGAUAGCGCUUCCGUCUGAGUCUGAGGGGAGUAGUGUCCUCCUGCAUACUCAUGCUACUGGCUCAAGUAAUAAUUCUGCAUUAGUAAGUAACCUGGCUAAAAAGAAGAUGAAGUGUGAAAUGCCUCCAAAAAUGAUAACACCAAUCCCUGAGAUGGAGCGGUUGCUAGUCCAUCGCCGUGCUCGUUUCCGUGCAAUGGUAGACCUUCCCAUUUCAAACUCAGUGUCGUUAUUGUAAAGCUUUGGUUUUUGCAUUAUAUGUAUAACUCAGCUCCUCAAUUUUUAUUGUAGAGACCCCGAUGGUCAUCAGAACGUGACCGUGAAAUAUUGUCUGCGAAGGUACAGAUUGCGAACGCUCCAGUUAUAAGAAAUGACCGAGAACUUUAUGCUCCAUUAUUUCGAAAUGUUUCAACUUUCAAGAAGUAAGUGCUUUUGUCGGAUACUAUUGAACUUGAGAACUAUCACUUGUUCCAUCACAGCCUGUUAAAUACAGCACCUUCCUCGCGUUCUUCUUCUUUACUUCAGGGACUGAUUCAAUAACGCCAGUCAACUUAUAGUCUGAAAUUGCAAGAUUAUGGUGUAAUGUAAUUCAGAAAUAAAUAAACGAUGAACAGAUAAAAACAAAAAACACUUGGUACACCUCUAGUGUUGCUCUUCGCAUACUUGCAUUCCUGAUACUUCCUUUCAUCUGUACCCUGUACUUUAUGAAUCCUGAAGGUUCAUACAGUGAUCACCUCAAUACCAAUUUAAGUUACAGGAAUUGUUGAAUCUCUUGAGUUUGAAAUUCUGAUCGAUGUUGGAGUGAAUAUUGGAUGCUAGAAAAUGGAGUCAACAUAUUUUUUGCAGUGGUUAGUACAUCAGUUUUAUGGAGUAUUAGUCUGUCAAUUUGUUAGUUUGCACGAGUAGGUUUGUCUUCAAAUGGUAUAUGUCCUAAUUCCAGCAUUACUAUGUGACAGGAGCUAUGAGCUUAUGGAACAAAUACUUAAGAUUCAUGUCUACAAGGAAGGAACUAAACCCAUUUUUCAUCAACCAAUCCUCAAAGGAUUAUAUGCAUCAGAAGGAUGGUUUAUGAAACUGAUGGAGGGAAAUAAGCGUUUUGUUGUGAAAGAUCCACGAAGGGCACACCUUUUUUAUAUGCCCUUCAGUUCUAGAAUGCUUGAAUACACACUUUAUGUGCGUAAUUCACAUAAUCGUACAAACCUCCGCCAGUAUUUGAGGGAUUACUCUGAAAAAAUUUCAUCCAAGUACCGCUACUGGAACAGAACUGGAGGGGCAGAUCAUUUUCUGGUUGCUUGUCAUGAUUGGGUAAUGCUUCCCCUCUUCAUAUCUUUUGGGAUAAUUUUGGCAAAUAUUUCUGCGGUUCACAAAGAUAAUAUGCUUUUCUCCUCUUUUACUAAAUAUUUAGUACAAUCUAAACAUGAGAUAUAGUACACAUACCCCUACAAGAGAGACGCAUGCAUAAAGCGGAGAAUAUGCAUCUCUUUGCUAUUUGAUGUCCUUUUUACCAUUAAGAAUUACUGCUUAGGGUGGGAUGAUACACGUAUCUUCUGUUAUAAUGCGCUGCUUUCUUGAUGUAUUCAUAAAACUAGAAAUCUGUUUCCAGAGCAUGUCAUGAUGUCUUUUUUGAUUUCGUAGGCUCCAUAUGAGACAAGGCACCACAUGGAACAUUGCAUGAAAGCACUGUGCAAUGCUGAUGUUACGUUAGGUUUUAAAAUAGGAAGGGAUGUUUCCCUUCCAGAAACAUAUGUCCGUUCGGCACGGAAUCCUCUUAGAGAUCUUGGAGGAAAGCCAGCAUCAGAGAGGCAUACUGUUGCUUUCUAUGCAGGCAACAUGCAUGGUUAUUUGCGUCCGAUCUUGCUUAAACAUUGGAAGGACAGAGACCCCGAUAUGAAGAUCUUUGGUCCAAUGCCUCCUGGUGUAGCCAGCAAAAUGAACUACAUCCAGCACAUGAAAAGCAGCAAGUAUUGUAUCUGUCCCAGGGGCUAUGAAGUUAACAGCCCAAGGGUGGUUGAAGCCAUAUUUUAUGAGUGUGUUCCAGUGAUUAUAUCUGAUAAUUUUGUACCGCCAUUCUUUGAAGUCCUAAACUGGAGUGCAUUUUCAGUAAUCCUUGCAGAAAAAGACAUACCUAACUUGAAAGAAAUUCUCCUAUCCAUACCUGAGGCAAAGUAUCUUGAAAUGCAAUCUGGGGUGAGAAAGGUUCAGCAACAUUUUCUCUGGCAUGCAAAGCCUGUGAAGUAUGAUCUCUUCCAUAUGACCCUUCAUUCCAUUUGGUACAACAGAGUUUUCCAGAUUAAACCUAGAUGACCCUUUCCAAUAGGUCCUUUUGAACUAAGACAAGUGGAAGCUCUGAAGGAAAGAUAGGAGACGUCAAAAUGCAUGAGCCAAUUGCUGAUCAUGCGAUCUGCUUCUCCUGAUUGCACGAAUAGGUUUAUGCUCUAGGUUCUCCUUAAUGGUUCCUCUUUCCUUCCACCCGAGUCAUUUUGAAUCAAAAUAGGAAAUACCGAGGAACUCAUUGAACUGUUUACAAUUUGCUUUAAGUGACUCCUUGUAUGUAUGAAGUUUUUGUCAAUUUCUUUUUUUUUGGAGAUGAGUUAGCUGUUGAGGCUGUCAAAUUAUUAUUGCAGAUCGCAUCGACAAGAAGGGUAACAGCUCUAGUCGUACGUAGCAUAGCAGGUUGGUUGGAAUUUCAAAUGUAUCCUCUUAAAAGCUCCAAUUAGCUUUCAUGCCGGAUUUGUUUUCAUAGAACCAGAAACUUGUUGCAAUUACUAUUUGGUAGUGGAAAUUAAGUGGACCACGGGCAGGAACCGUUCCGGGCGGUUUUGUGUAUUUUGCACAUCGCGUAAUUUUGUUUGCACACGGUGUAAUUUUGCUUGCAUAACGUGUAAUUUUAGAAUAAAAUUUUGUGAAUUCACACGCAUUGUGAAAAUCAAGAUACAAAACUGACCAUGAACCAUGCAACUUUUUGUGAUCAAAUCUGGCCAUGAACUGUGCAGUUCUGACGAUCAUUCCAGCCCCUUGUCCAAAUGAAGUGGCUGAAAAGCCACGUAGUCUGGUUUGCCACUGUGGUGGUAGAGUAGUCUACUGUAAUAGAAGUUAAAAACAAUCUUGAUGAGUUGACGGUGCCAUUUUGGUUAGACGGCCAUCAGCCUUGUAAUUCGCAAGAAACGAAAAAAUAAAAUAUCUUUUUUGAGACUUUAAAUUCGAAGGCCCAAAUGCCUGGAAGGAACGUUGCCUGGCAGAAACUUACGCAUCAAAUGAUUGCAUUUUUUUGGACUUUUUAUAAAAAAAUUAUUAUAGCGAUUUGAUACAUGUGAGAUAAAAAAGUGAUUGAAAAUGUGUUUACGAAAAAUGUAGCAAAUUUUGUAUAAGCCCUUAAUGGAGCAGAUUUUGUAUAAGCCAGUUCAGAAAACAAUAAUAUAUAAUCGUGUUGGCUCUUUCCCUAGAACAUGUAAAUUUAUUCAAUCUUAAAUCUUAAUGUAAUUCAAAUCGUCGAGUGGACUCAACUUCCGGUAGUUUAUAAACGUAAUCCCUCCUGUGUUGCAAGCAAGAGUCACCUACCCAUGCAAACGUAUGCACAUGUACAAAUUUAUGCCCAAAAACCCAAAAAAAAAAGAAAAGAGUCCCAUGCCAUUGCUUACGAGGAAAAAGAAAAUAAAAAAAGGGAUUCCAUCUCUAAUCCAAAUCUUCUCGGGUAUAUAAAAACUCGAACCACUGGUAUGGAUUUUGACGUGCAGAUUAGGAUGUGGAAUAGGUUUGGCAUUUUUAAUGUCCAAACCUGGCCUCUCCUGCGAUUAGAUUCACAAGCACUUGACCAAAAACAGAUUCGAUGAGCGUGGCAGCGUUGUAUCACUUAGAGUCUGGCUUUUGAUUGAAUUGGUAAGCAUAAUAACUUAACAGAGUGCAAAAAUGAAAAAUGGAGUUAUGUAUGGGAAUUCAUGAAUUAGACUACAGACACAACAAUUAUACAUUAUCUCGAUUGAAUUUCAAGAUUAUAACACGAUAUUGCUGCUAUGUACUAUAUAUUUUCCAAAAGAUUGUAGUAUCAAUAUAGUUGUUGACUUGAUCACUCAACACACGUAAAUGAAGUUGUAAAUUUUGUAUAGGUAAGCAGAUGAGAUGUUUUUUCCUCCGCGCACUUAACGUGUUCGGACCGGGUUGGGGUGUCGGGCUCAAGCCGCAGGGGAUUAGUCGGGUCCCGUAAGGAUUGAUCCGGACAUCCCUGUGUCGACAAAAAAAAAAAAAAAAAAAAAAAAAAAAAGCAGAUGAGAGGCUUGGUUGGGUGAUAUAGGUAGGAGAGAUUGUAAUUACAAGAAAAUAGAUUCAAAAUCUCUCAAAAAAAAAAUAGCAGACGAAAGUGUACUAUCUAUAUUAUAUAUAAAGGAAGAUAAGAGGGUUUGAUAUAAACAUUCUAUAUCACUUUAUGUAUUUCAAUUUUUGAACCUUUUCAAAACCUAUAAUAUAUACUAUAUACAAAGGGAGAGAAAAUAGUUUGAUGUAAACAUUUUAUGUCACUUUAUGCACUUCUAUUUUUGCUCUGAUAAAAACUAAUUUUACAUUAAUUAUCCAAACACAUGGUGUCAAGAUAGUUACCUAUAAGUAUUUCUUAAUUUACUAUUUAAACGUAUUUAUUUUCAAUGUAACUUCUCCUAAACAGUAACUAUCAACAUAAUAAUCAUUUGUCAAAACAAUUUAGAAGAUUAACUUUUCUUUACGAGUGUGUAAAAUUCAUUUGCUAUAAAUAUUGUGUAUUUUUUUAUUGCACACAUAUCGAAUGUGUAUUUAUGAGUCACUAAUAUAUAUAUUUUUUUUUUUGCUGCAAUAAUAAUUUUUGUGUAAACUAAUUUAUUCUAUUAUAAAAAGAGAGAAUCUAAAGAAACUGUAUAAUAGAGUAACAAAGUUUACGCACUAUCAAUCACUAGAAUAUGAUAACGUGGUAAUAUAUAAGUUCAUUAUGUAGCGGCUUUACUAAGGGCAAUUAUAAAAAUGCGAGGAUCACCAACAGAUUCUGAGGCCCAAUCAAUACUUACAGCCAAAAUUCAUUUCCAAGAAAAAUUCCACCAACUUCUGCGGUGCUCUCAAUUCACACCAGUAGUAGCGUAAGAGAGAGUGGCCUAGUGAAUCAUCAAUGAUCAUCGCUCUUGAUUCUGCAGUUUAUGCUAACAAAACAGAGAAAAGUCAAAAAGAUUUUACUUCCUCUGCAGUCCUGCUAGCCUUGCUCGUGUCACCACUCAGAAAAGGAAAGAGUAGCUGGUUGGUGUGAGAAUGUCGCACUCGCUGGUGCAUCCACCAUUAAUGAUCAUCAAAGCUCUAACCAGUGCCACUAGAAUUAAUUCUCACACUUACAAAAAUCCAAUCUCAUGCGGAGCCUUCCCUUGCGUUUGUCCACUCACUCACUGUCCAACCCACCAAACAGCCCCCAACAAUGAACAAACCACGUAUCCUUACCUUCCUUCAAUCCCUUUCUUUCAUAUUCCUUCUGCAAAGUGCAAAGCAAAAUCCCAUUUGAGUCGUUGACUGCUUUAAAUGGAUUCCACCUCCCAUUCUCUGCUAACUGCAUGACCACGCAAUCAGUAAAUCCCCACGUGUGCCUAUUCAUGUCUCAUGAUGUCUCCGAUUUACCUGCCACUGAAACAACUUUUGGGGCACAAUUUCUGGGAUAGGUCUCCUUUUCACAGUCAAAUUUAAUAGUAUAGUUUUCCUUUGCUUGUAUGCAGACCCACAGAGAGAAAGAAAUUUAGGAAAAAGAAGAACAGCACGAACAACAGAAUUUUAGUUCUGCAUUUUUAGCUAAAUUGAGUCAAUUAUAGGAGGGCUUUUCCAAAGAUUGAAACUUUGUUGAAGCAUUCAUUUGAAAUUUAACUGUUGUCCUUGGAAACCCAAAUUAACCGCUCACUUGUUACUCCUCCUAGUCUUAGGGCACAUUUUCCUGGGUUUAGUUCACUAUUACAGUUACUGUGCUAAUUGUGACGGUUGAAGUCUUCUGAGAUACUUCGCUUUUUGCAUACCCUCGAAAUAUAAAAAAAAAAAAGAAAAAGGAGGAAAUGCUUGUACAGUACUAAAGCUCAUUGCUUGUGCUUAAGUGGUUCAAUUCUUGGAGGGCUUUUUCAAAGAUUGAAACUUUGAAAAAUCCCAUUUGUUUUUCUGUUCUGACAUCAAGUGGGCCAUUAUAGAAGUAGCCAUUGGAUAACGAUGGAAAACUGGGGCACUCCAGACCACUUUUCUCUGCUCCUUUCACAUUCAACGACGCAAUGACCUUUUAUUUACCUUUCUGUUGGCAUUCAAUUGUUCUUUUGGUGGCAUUAAAAUUUUUCUGGUAAUAAUCCGAGAAUCUUUUAUUGGUUUUGGCAAAUUCAAUGCUUUGUUGGGAUUUGCGAAAUCCCCUCUCAUGUGGUUGUAUGCAAAUUUACAUAAACUACUAGUUUUGAUUCCCAAAAAAUAAAAAAUAAAAAAUCUGCUGCUGUAGUUCUCCAGUUUUGCUUAUCUUCUUCAUCCUAAAGCCGUAUUUUGCAAAUUGAUGUAAAUCUUAUUUCUUUUGUUUUUAUAUUGGUUCAGACUUUGUGUUAGAAUGUAUUUAGAUUGUCUUGAUUUUAUGAUUAAUUUCUCAUUCCUUCAUUGAGGUCUGCAUUUGGCCUCUUUCGGGAGAAAUGUAGGAAAGAAAGAGAUUGCUUUGUAGUGCGUCGUUUACUUGCGUUGGAAGAUUUUGCUUGAGAGACUGUGUUAAAGACAGAAUUAUGCACUUUGAAACAUGAUUUUUGGAGUCCUUCAAGAAGUGCUAAGAACAUAACUUUGUGAAUUUUUUUUCAUUGGAUUGCUUCUUAAUCUGCUGUUUAAUUGCUAGUCAUAUAUGAUUGCUGCUGUUAAUGCAUAUGAUUUGGCAUCUAUAUAAGUAUUUUCAGACCUGUUUUGGGGGACUGAAGUAAAACAUAUACAAGGUGUUAAAGGUUGCCCGUUUAGCGAUGGGAAAAUAUUAUUCAUUCCUGAGUUGCUUGAAUGUUUAUAAUCUCUUUAUUAUAUCUUAUUAUACUUCAUUUGUAUGCCAAUUACCAAAUUGUGAGGUUACAGUGAUUUCGUGCACAGCUUAAAAUUAAUUAUCAAUUGAAGAUGUCAAAUUAUUGUUUCCUGAGUUAAGUAGAUUUUAAAUUAGUUUUUGUCCCUCAUUGCAAAAUCUUGUUCAGGAUGAUGAUCCUGUGAUGUCUGCUAUAUGUCAAGGAGUUUUGGUCUUCAAGGAAGCAAAUGUAUCUAAUAUGUUACGGAUCAAUUUUUUUUUUUUUUUGGCAGUUAGAUUUUUUAAUGCUACAUAUGCUGAUGAGCUAGAUAGAUUGUCAGGGCCUGAAGGAUUGAUGGAUGACUUGUAUCUAAGUGAAGAGUUUUGGUGCACACCUUCAAUUGUAAGUGUUAUCUUGUGAUUCUAUGCUUUUGACUCGUAUCAUGAGAUGGCUAUAAAUCUUUCUUCAUCCACUUGUGUCAUGACCUGAUCUCCAUGGGUUGGUUUGUUCAAUUAGAUACUGAUGCCUUUCAGAAUUCAGAUGAUGGCAUAAUUUUGGUUGUCUCAAUUUAUAACAAGUUGCAUUGCAAGAUUGUUAGUCUUCUUAAUCUUCAGAUAAGUCUUUUCGUGUCUAGCAGUUCUUAAAUAGUCAUGGUGUCAGUUAGAAUUAGACAUGCUAAUUGAUGUUUCCAGAGUUGGUGUAGUUAAUCUUUAUACUUUGAUCUAGAAGUUGGUCUUCCAGGUCUAACUUAGUCCCGUUUAGCAGGAUUUUGGUGACGCUGGGGUGCAGCAUAGUCUCUUUCAGAUACAAAUUUCUUCCUCUCUGUCAAUGGAUGACAUAUUUUCCCGUCUUUUGACCUUAACCUCUUAUUUGACACACAAACUCAUUCGAUUCAUCAGUGAGUUCUUUGAAACAUUUAUUUCAUUGCUUCAGAUAUGCUGAUAGAGUAUCGUUGAUAUUUGUAUGUGCGCUUUACAAAGGGAAUCUGAUUCCGGUAUUUUGAAUUAAAUGUUGUGCAGAGGAUCUUGUCUUCACAGAUAUAAGACAACAUUCUGAAUAUUCACUAGUCACUUGUGAUCAAGAAGUAAGAUCUUCAUAUUAUGGUGAUUCUGGAUAUCCUGAAGGAACUUCAACAUCUUCAAGAUACUGGGAUUGCAGCAAAGGCCUUUUUGUUCCAGAAAACACAGACUCAGAAUUCAAAGAACUGACUGUCUUCAAGUUUAGAAAUUGUAGAAAACAAUUACAGUUCUGGGAGCAUCAAUGUUGUUUUUUCAAAGGGGUAUGUUACGUUUAACAGACUUCAAUGAAAGCCAUUAUGAAUAGCUGCAUCAUAUCACUUGUUUCCAUUUAUCUAUUUCAGUGUUUUCGUGAUACUCCAGAAAGGAUAUUAUUGGUGCUAAUAGAGUAUUGUGCUUGUCUGUCUAUUCUCACUGUAUAGAGCUUAUGUCUUUCUUCUACUUCUGAGGAAUCAUACCAGUAUAAUGUCAUCUGUGGUUGCAGGUUGAUGCUACCUACAUUUUUUCUCAGAUUUGCUAGGAGGUUAGGGUUGACCUCUUGGAGUCUUAUUUUGUCUUGUGUCAGAUGUGCUCAAGCCAAAGUGCUGAGGUAAAGUACAUGUUUCAUAGAUGUACAGACAGUAACUUCCAGAGUUAAGACAUAUUUUGAUGGCUAAUUGUUCUUUUAUACCCUAGAUCUGCCCUGUAAACUAUAUUGCUUUGCCUUUUUACUCGUGCCUGAAUUUCAUUCUUCUCAGGUUUAUAUCUCGGGUAAGGAGAACCGUCCAUGGAUCUUCUGAUGAUAUUGGAUGGUUGCAAAAUGACACUGAAAUGGCACCUGUGGAGGAUGGUUCAUCUAGAUUUCUAGAAUUGCUUCAAGGCAUUAGGUACUAAUUCAUUUUGUUGCUAACCAUUGUGGAUUCCAUGUAGAGAAAGUAUUGUUGAUUAUGUCUGAUAUGACACUUUUUGUGGAAACAAUAGUAAAACAAGUAGAAUUUUAAUAAAUGAGUUAUGAUUCUAUUUAGUUUCUACUAAACAAAAUUGUUUUGGGUAAAUAUGAAGUUGGUAAUUCCAGAAAUUCUUUUCUUGUUUUAAGCAUGGGUAUUAUUAUUGACUGAGAUACUUAAUAUAUAGGAUCUGCUUCAGACUUUCCUGAACUAGCCGCAUUUCUGAUGUUUCUUUGUUCCACAUCCAAGUGUAGCAAGAAAUAAGUCAGCAAAUGCAUGUCAUUAAUCUUUGUGGCAAAUUCAUGCUUCAGGUUUGAAAGAAGAGAAAACACAGUUUUAGGAGUGCUACUGAUUGCCACAGAUGUAGUAAGAAUGGGUUAGUUGUACUGUAACUUUCAUCAUGAGACCAGCUAACUAAAGUCAUGUAGUGUCUUCUCCAUAAGAAGCUUGAAUCCUGCCUGAACUAGUGAAAUACUCCACUCGAUUUCUUAUGCUCUUUAUGAUCUAGUGAAAUGCAUUGCAGUUGAUGCGUUAAGAUGUCCUCUCAUAUUGUAUAGCAGUGAAUAUGUUUUAGAAAUGAAGAUUUCUGAUAUAUUCGGUGAGAAGAUAAAAUUACAGACAUAAGAUAGGUAUGGUGCCUUUUGAGCUUCCUCCACAUGUAGAUUUCUGCACUAGGAGUGAAGUGGAUUGGGAACCAACAAAAACAAGGUACCAUAAUUGAAUCUGAAACUUUAUUGGUUUAGAUGUGCUGCAAGUUGAUGAAAGGUAAAAAGGAAACCUAAACAAAGCUUUCUUUCUUAGCUUUAAAGAAGGCCACACAAAGCACAACGCUUUUUUGGUUAUAUUUGAUAGAGUUGUAAGCAUUCUUCUCCAAGCUUUCUGAGAAGAGUUUGAAACUUGAAAAUAAAAGAGUCAUAAUCAAUGAAGUUUUGCUGCUUGUUGAUUAACUAAACCCAAAUGCUGACGAUUUUGGUGAUGAUAGUUAUGGAGAAAAUUGUUCAAUUUUAUGUUCCAAAAGUGUGUUGGUGCCUAAAUGGAUCAUUACAAAGUCAUGAGGACAGACUUUAGAAACAGAUGAGGAAACAUAGAAGAAAUCCUUUAAAAAAGGCUCACUGUAGAAUAACAAAAAGGGAAACCUUGUCUAUGAAAGAAGACUAGAAUGAAGAAAGAGAUUGGAAGACAUAGUAUUUAGGAGAAUGUGGGAGAGGAGGAUAUUAAUAGGGGAGACAAAUGUAUGAUAAUUCUUGUAUUGAAUCUCAUGAUUGUCAUAAAUUUUGACAUUAUUGUUUGAAUGUCUACACAUCAAAAAAGUUGAAGAAGGCAUACUACAUUGAACAGGGGGAGGGAGAUGUUUACAUUAUUCUGUUUUUAGCAUAAAAUGGAAGUUGAUAUGGAAAUAUGUGUAUGUGGAAUUUCAAACCUUAAACAUGGAGAGAGAGAUGGUUGUUGACAUUGAUGAAUUUUUAAGGUUCAAUCUGCAGUCAAGCAGCUUUUAUGAGGGUACGAGGAAGACUCUCAUUCACUUGAGAGAGAGAAGGCAUGAGUUUAUCACUAAUAUCUAUAAUGUGGUAGUAUGAAGUCUUAUAUUUUCAGGUGCUAAUAACUCUUAAUGGAAGGGAUAGGGCAUUAGCACGUCAAAGACUGCCACUUCAUGUGGAGAUUAUAAAAGGUUAUUGCAUGUUAGUGUCGAAUAGCCAAAAUGAGGUUACAUAAUACUUAUUUUCAUACUCUAAAUAUGUGUCACUAAUUGACCUGAUGAAUUUGGUGAAGGUUAAAUUCAAUUGAUUGUCAAAGUUUUGCAUUUAGCUUUCGAAAAGAGGCAUCCCCAAGAUGGAAGGAGCCACUAGAAUCAAACCCUGUCAGAUCAAUCAGAGUGACCCCUGCUAGAACCUCUUGGCUACAUAAUGGGGAUCUGAUUGGUCGGGAUACCUGCUUGGUAUUGAGAUCUUACCACUUCCCUAGGAUAGCUGUUACUGACAAAAAAUGGUCUUCUACACUUGUUUAUAUACUUUGCAAGAUUGAAUAUAAGAAUCUUGCUAGCGUAAGAUUUGGGAAGAGAUACAUUGUAAGUAGCCUAUACAAGCAAAGAGCCUACUUGCACUUAGAACCCCUCACUUAAUCUUGUCCUAGUUGAAGAGAUAUUACUGCAAUGCAAAGGCCUGUCACUCAAACCUUUUUUUUCUCUUCCAAUAUUUUUUUUAUUUGUGCUGAUGUGAUAUGCAUGUAUAUGAGAUUCAUGUGCAACUGCAGUCAGGACUCUGAUGAUAAGGUUUUUUAUUAAAAAAUGAAAAACCAUGGUGGAAAGUUUUAAAAGACUUAGUAAAUCAAGAUAGAAGCUAAACCUUCUUGUUUGGAAAUCCCAGUGCUUGUUGUUUUGGGAGCCUACUUAAAACAUUGUCUAGUUGUUUCUCCAUGAAUGGAGCGUCGCAUAUGUAGUUUCCGUUUGAUAAAACUGAAUCUGAAUUCUGAAGUCUGAAUUCUGAAAUGUGAAUACUGAAACAAUUAAUUUGCUGAAUUUUUAAAAGACUUGGUAAAUCAAGAUAGAAGCUAAACCUUCUUGUUUGGAAAUCCCAGUGCUUGUUGUUUUGGGAGCCUACUUAAAACAUUGUCUAGUUGUUUCUCCAUGAAUGGAGCGUCGCAUAUGUAGUUUUCGUUUGAUAAAACUGAAUCUGAAUUCUGAAGUCUGAAUUCUGAAAUCUGAAUACUAAAACAAUUAAUUUGCUGAAUUUUAAGCACUGAAAAGAAAUAUAUUAAUGUCUGAAUUUUAAUGCUAAAUCUAUUUAUACUGUUUGAUAAACAUUUAUAACUGAAUACUUAAUAAAUUAAAUUUGAUAAUUUUGCCCUUAUAUCUUUUCAUCAAAAAAAGAAAUAGAACCUAUGAUUUAAUUAGCUAAAAAUAUUAAGUAUGAAAAUGACAAUAUUUAUUUUUAAAUCAAAUUAAUAUAAAAGAUGAAUUAUAUUAUAUGAGGAGUAUGAAGAAGAAAUGAAAGUCAUUCAAAAGAGAGAAAAGAGAAAUAGAAAAUCAUUAGAUAGAGAAUAUUAGGUUGUUUAAUUAUAUAAGAAUUUUGAAUAUAAUUAAUAAACAAGGGUAAGUUUGGUAGAUAAGAUAAGGUAGUUGAAGUAAUUAUAUUAAUUCUUAUCAGAAUUAAGCAUUUAGUUAGGAUUCUUAUGCUGAAAAAAAUACACACAAGUUCAACACUAUUUAAUAAGUUCAGCAAAUGGAUUUUUAUUUAUCAAACACUCAAAACAUCUGAAUGUCUGAAAAAAUUCAGAUUCAGCACUUUUUUAUGUUAUCAAACAGGCCCGUAGAUCAAUUACUGUUUCUUCGUUAAAUUACUUGCUCACCUUUUCAGAAAUUUCUUCCAUUUCUGCUCAUAAGUUUGCGUUAUUGAGCAACAGUUUACAUGUAGAACUAUUAUGAUUGAAUGUAUAUAUCUUCUUUCCUCUCUCUUUUUUUUUAUCUCUUAGGAAUGGAGAGCACAAGCUGCCUGAUUCUUUUAUUUAUCUACUAAUUCCAGGCUUAUGGAAAUUACUUAUUCUGUGAUAUGAGUUCAUCUUCAUCUGCACGUAGUUUUGGCUUAAUAAAAUUUAUACUUUAUCUGACUUAAUGUGAAUUAUUAGGGCUUUUCAGCAAUCACGGUCCCUCAUACUUUGUCAGCACCAAGAUGGCUUUCUCUAAGAUGGGUUUAGCUUGCCACAUAGCUAAGAUCCACAGUGAGGUAUAGGGAAUUUAGGAUGUUAGACUGAAAUUUGAUGCUGAUGAAAGAAUACCUGUGCCUCACAUUCCUUGAGUUUAGGGUUCAUUGUAUGCUUUUUCUCGCAUGUUAUGCACUCAUUCUGUUACUAAAACCUUUCCCCACUGUGUAAAGGCAUCUGUGGAGAAAAACGCUUGGGAACUGAAGCACUACAUAGAGGAGCUUUACUGGGGAUCUGGCAAACGUGUGAUGCUGCUUGGUCACAGCAAGGGUGGGGUUGAUGCUGCUGCUGCUUAUCAAUAUAUUGGGAUGAUUUGGAAGACAAGGUUGCAGGACUAGCAUUCGUGCAGAGCCCUUAUGGUGGGACUCCAGUAGCAGCUGAUAUACUUCAAGAAGGUCAGAUUGCUGACAAGGAAAUCCGGAGGAUCAUGGAAUUCCUAAUAUGCAAUGUAAUUAAGGUAAAAGUUGCUCUAUCCAAAGCUUAAUGUCCCACAAAUAGUUGGUUACAAGUAAUUUAUCAUUUUGUUUGACAACACUUUGAUUGGUGAUCCUUUUUUCUUUGAUAUGUACCUUUAUCUCCAGUUUCACUUCUAGCCAUAUCAAUAUGUGGAGCUGUUAAAUCAGACAAACAUGGUUUUAGAUCUUCGUCCUUAGGAUGUGGUUAAUUUCUGCAAAACAGAUGACACUUGUACAUUUUCUCAAAUGGUUUCAUAAGAGUGUUGUCUUCUGCCAUCAGGAACUGUUGAUGGUGCAACUGUGUUAUAUCUCAAAUACUACAUUAGGUAUACAUACCAACAUUUCAUCUAUCGGGGUUAACAAGGUCUGUUGGUUAGUAUCUCAGUUUGUAUAAUUGAUUCACAGUUGAUCAAACAUGUAUAGUUAGCUGUUCCUGUUCACUACAAUUUUUAUUACGUUUGUAUUAAUCUGACAAAGGCUUUGUUGCUUCUUGUGUUGUUCUUUAUUCCCUGAGCAGUGACCCAGAAAUUCUUGUUGCAGGGUGACAUAACGGCAUUAGAGGAUCUCACAUAUGAUAAGAGGAAGGAAUUCGUGAAAAAGAACAAGCAUCCUGACAGCAUUCCUCUGAUCUCCUUCCACUCUGAAGCAAAUACUGCACUGAACUCCACAAUGUCUCAUUUCGCACAUGCUGAGAUUCCUUGGUUUCCUUUACCCCACUUUGGCACAUAUAACUCCGUGGACGCUGUGCAGGCAACAAGAACUGUGCCUGUUAUUGUUCCUGUAUCUGCUGCUUUGGCAAUUUGUGCACUUCACCUGGAACUAAGGUAUGGGGAAAAAAGUGAUGGUUUGGUAACAUGCCGUGAUGCUGAAGUUCCAGGCUCUGUUGUUGUAAAGCCUGAUAUGAAACUUGAUCAUUCUUGGAUGGUAUCCUCCUCAUGGAAAAAAAAAAACCCUUUGAGCCUGACUCUUCUGAAAUGUGUGAGGCUCUUUUAACACUUGUUGAACUUGGAAGCAAAAAAGGAUGAAGCAAGAGUUGGGAAUAACUGAAGGUUUUAAAUGAUGUAAGAUUCCAACUUUCAUUCUCAUUAAACUGAAGAAGGCAAUACUGUGUUGCUUUACGGCUGCAUGUAUGGACAUUUUCCUUGAAUGCAUGGAGUUUCUUUUUUUUUUUUUUCCUUUUCUUUUUUGUGCGUUGAUUUUAGUUAAGCCUUUAGUGAAAGUCCAAUUUAUCUACUUCCAAACUUGAAAGAUGAUUGGUAUUCAAAGGGGUUGGUGCUCUAAUUGAUGAACUGUUUAUUCAUGCUGGGGGAAAGAGUACACCAGAUGAUUUAAGGGAUAAUUUCAGAAACCUCCCUGAGGUUUUUGACAAUUUCACUCAUCUCCCUUCAGGUUUAAAUAAUUACACUAACCUCCCUUCAUGUAGUAAAAUGAUUAUGGCCUAGUUUGGCAAGUGAGUUUUUUUGGUGUUUGUAUAAAAUUUUAUUGUAAUUUAUUGUAAAAAUUAUAAAAAAAUUUUUUAAGUAUAUAAAUUUUUAGAAAUUUUGAAGUGUAUAGUUUAAAAUUUUUGAAAAUUUUUUUGAGAUUAUUGUAGUUAAAAUUUUUAAAAAACUUAUAGCAGACAAAUUUGGCCAAAAUUUUGUUUGCCAAACAAGGCCUAUAAUAUCCUUCACUUAUAAAUAAUUUCUACAAAUAAAAAAACUUUACAAUUACAACUAGUCUUUUAUUCUAAGGCAAUUGCUGUCAUACAAACUAAACUCUUGUUCUACUCUUUCUCUUACCUUUUUUCUCCUACAUCUCUUUUUUCGUAAAUCGACACACUCUCUUUUUUUUGUUUUUGUUUUUUUUAUAAGCAUUAUUGAAUUGAAAUUACAAAAUGAUAAGUUGCCAAAUCAUAUUUGUUGUCAAACUAAAUGAAAAUGAAAAAGAUGGCGGUGAUAUAGAAUACAUACAAGAAAAUAAAAAUGAGAGCUAAAAAAGGAAUGUGGAUUAAAGAAGAUUACGACAAUUGUGUAAAAAGAAAUUUUGAAAUAUGAAAACUAUAAUCAGAUUUGCCUAAAAGACAUGGAUGUAGUUUCUAGUGUUGCUUUGGUUGCUCCAUAUUGGUAUUCUUGAUAGGUUACAUUAUUUUAGUAACAACAAGGCUGAACAGUGACAUUAGUCAAUUCAAAUAUUGAAUUUGGGCAAAAAAAAAAAUGAGGCAAAAUAUUAGGUUGAAUGCAGACUUUAAUUGUUACAGUUGAUUUGCAUAGGAAGCUUUAGGGUAGCAAUAGUAGGCUGUCAAAAUUGUAAGAAUAUGGGAAUUAAGAUGAAAUAGUUUAUUGAGUUCGUUAAGGUGGUGGUUAUGUAGUUUGUAAUAGUUGUAAUGUGAAAGAAUUUAUUAGUUUGUUUUUCCCCCUUCUACGUAACAAAGGGGUAUUUUAGGAUUUUUGAGAAGAAAGUUAGCAUAUUGGGUCUAUAUUGUUACCGAAAUGCUAAUCAUAGGAGAGGUAGGUGUAAUUUUUUAAACUAGAAGGGAGCUUCCUGCAAUAGUCAAAAAUCUUAGGGGAGGUUUUUGAAAUUAUCCCAUGAUUUAAUUCUGGUUAAGUGCUUGAGCAACACUCAACACCUUUAUGAAUGGGGCCCCAUGGGCUAAGGGCCUGUUUUCAAGAUAAAUAAUGCAAGGAGGUUCUACAGAACUCCAAUUUUUGCCAAUCAAGGUGGGCCAAAAUGUCCGUUGCAUAUGAACUCUCAAGGAUGGAGGUAUAUUAUGAAAAUACGGUAUGGCCACGGUAGGUGUAUUAACGCAAACUGGGCCAAAAAAUCGGGUACAAGACGAUUGUGAUAUGGCUUAUUGCUUCACCAUGAUUUUGUUUCGAAGGGUCGAAAAACAUUAAAUGGACCCCCGAAAAUCUAAAUUUGUCAAAGCCCAUUUAUUGCUUAAUCUACUACAGUCCAAAUGACAUUGAUUAAGUAGGCCUAGUAAUUGGUCCCAGGUCAUAAACUUAAGACACUUCAGCAUGUACCAGAAAAGAAAGAAAAAAAAAAAAAAAAAAAAGGGGAAGAAGAAGAAAGCAAUGUGGGCCAUCUGAAAAUGAAACUCCGAGGCAAACCCAAUUGAAUCACUGGAAACUGUGAACUGCUGUGUGGGCCAUCUGAAAAUGAAACGCUGAGGCAAACCCAAUUGAAUCCCUGGAAACUGUGAACUGCUAUAAAAUUAGCCUUGGUUUAGGCGAUGAUGAUGACCAUUUUGCAAUACACUGACAAGAAAAGGUUACAUUCACCAUGAGGAUUCUAUCCUAAAUAAGCACCCAGAAUAAAACUUAAUCACAAUUGCACAAGUGAUUAACAUAUAUGGCACAUGAAAGGUGCGGUUCAAUUCGGAUAAGAUGGUACUAAUUUAGCUUAGCUCCUCACUUAGCUUAAUACUUAGACACGCUACCAUCUAAUUCAUUGCUUUUAAUCGGUGUCGUUUUCUUAUUUUUACUCAUCUGUUUGCUGAUAUGGGCAGACAAGGAAGGAUGUCAUGACCAAGAUACCUGAUGGCUCAAGCAAUUUGCUCAUCGGCAAACUCUUAAAAGAUCAUUAAUCGGUUCAGGAUAAUGGAUUUCACUUUUAUAGUCAGAUGCUCAACGUAGGAAUGUUGGGAGAACCAUUUUGAGGAAAAAUUACUGCCCAUCUCAUUUGCCACCAGCACUGGAACAUGCUUCAAGUUACACACAUUUGCUUAUUUUUACUAAUAAUAAUAAAAUUUGAAGCCACUUGAUUACAGCAAAUGUUGGAGUUUUGGCGAACGAGUUGGAAAAGAGUCACGGACCAGAGUACGAAGCAAAAUAGUCAUGCAGGACUGAAGGAUGAAUCAAACUACUCGAUACUUGAAUUGAACUCGGUUUGAGAAGCGCUCGUUGAAGUUUAGUUCCCUAACUAGUCAAGUGAAAUUUGAAUAGAUUUUUAUGUUCGAUGACAUUCAAAAUCAAUAGAAAGCUCAUAUAAAUUUGGAAAGAAAACAGAAAUUGACAAGGCACAUGAGAGACUUGAAAUCUUGUACGAGAAUUAAGUGGUAUGCAACAGUAAAUGUGGAAUCAAGAGGCAACCUUGCCUCAACUGAUGCCAGUACACACAUUGUACUGGCCUUAGUUUUGCUUGACGAUUCGUAGCAACCACGUCGACGGAGUUUCGGACAUGUGCAUUUGCAUCAAUAAGGGCUCAAAGUGCAGGGCUUCAGUCUUUCACGUUCGGGCCCUCAACAAUUACUGUUGCACAGCUUCAUUAUUAACACGAAUCAGCAAGAGGCCCGGAGAGCCAUGAUAAGAACGAUUGUGACAGCAACAAAAGAGAAGGGGAAAGGCAUGAAAGAAAGGAAAAAGAGUGAUUGAGCUGCUGCAGUUUUUGCCAUUUCAAUGAAAUAAAUUAAAUUUAAAUGUCGGUGGGCAGUACAUUUUCCACCUUAGUUUCUAGGCCAGCAAGAGCCUGAUAAUGAAUUGUUGCUUCAGAGAAGUAAUAAAUUCAGAACAGUUGGAAUACUUCAGAGCCAAUAAAUGACCCUUUUUACAGGCCGAUGCAAUAAGAUCACACUACUAUCAGAGUAUUUGAUCGCCAAUACUUCAGUUCAAGUGCAGCAUUAGCAAGAAACCUCGGCUUUUAACAGAGGACAAAGGUGCAGUUGGUUUUGCAACCCAUUAAUAACUCGUAUAUAAAAGACAGAAGGUGCGCAGUCGUAGUCCGGCCAGCUUUUCUAGAUUCAGAAGAUAGAUCGUGUCAUACUCGUUCGUGAAUCUGCACGUGUAAGCCCACAUUCAUAAUCAUUUCCUGCUUCGAUGAUAUGUCUUCAACUCGACAUGGAUCCGAUCCCCUCCUUUCUUUCUUUCUUUCUUUCUUUUUUUCCCCCAUGAUUGAGUUUUUAUCUUUUGAAUAAGAAGGUUUAUUGACGCCAGCACAACUCCAGCUUCAGAUCAGCAAAUGUUGCACCCGGGAUGGGAUGUACAGGAGACCCUUUUACUGCCGAACUGCUUCUCUUAAAUUCGUCAACAAAUCAAGAAGAUGUACAAGAAACCUGAAUUCCUAAGAUUUGUCCCAUCACCCAUUCUUUGUACGAGUUAAUGAGAUUGCAAGCGCAGGUGAGCUAAUGAGUUAAUUUGCCUAUUGAAUAUUAUCUAAUAAUAAGUUGGUCGUGAUCACUAUAUUAAACGAACACAAAUCAUUCGACCAGUUCCAGUACCUAAUCACUUUCCUUCCUUUAGAUUGUGAAAUAAUAAUAAUAUACUCAAACGAACCCAAAAAAAAAAAAAAACAAAAGGAUUAAUGGAUUGAAAGGUCAUGUGAGUAGCAGAAGGUGGAAUGAUUUAGAGUUUUGGGCAAUCGUUUUAUUCAAUGACAUCUACGAUCUGGAUUAGACAUUUUCAGGCUUGCAAGUAAGUUACUGGUGUCUAGGGAAUUUUCCAAAUUCGGCCAAGAAUUUCAGGCAGAAAGAAAAAUCGAAAUGGGAUGUUAACCGACUGAUAUUUCCAAUUGUGUGCAAAAAUACACAUGAAUGAAACGUCCCUGAUCAUCAUUUAUUGCCUUUUUGAUUCUCUUGCCAAACAAAUUACCUAUGUACAUCGUAUCAAUUAUCGUUUCAGAAAAAAAAAAUAUAUAUAUAUAUAUAUUUAUAUAUAUAUCGUAUCGAAGCAUUCAGGCAAAACCCAAUUGUUUUUUUCUUUCUUUCCGUGGUAACUUUCUAUUUAACUCUUCAAACCAAUCAAAAAAUGAAGAGACAAACCCCCCAAAAAAAAUAUUCAUUUAGCCAGUGUAAAAAUAAAAAAUAAAUUCACGUGCACAACAAAAUUGUAUUAAUAAAUAAUACAACAAGUGUAUGUGAGUGUAUUGAAACUUCAACUGUGCUUGCCUCAAACUCCAACACGAACCAUCUAUCCUAUUCAAUCAAACCUCAAACAUGGCCACUGAAAUGCCUCAUUCCCUCGAGUUAUUGUCAUGGUAGUUGGUUUAGAGGUAGGGGACUUGAUAUCCAAUGCCUUUGCACCAGACAAAUACAUACCUGGGUCACAGUUCACCAACGCAUUGCAAUGGUACUACCUAAUAAGUGAACAUGUGGUCAAUUGCCACAUGUCUCGUAAAAAUGUAGCCAGCACCACCACCAGCCCAUCAGCACACCGUCAGCUAUAAUUCCACCUUCGUACUCUCUGAUUUGCCACGUAUCGUCAUUUGGUCCGGUGGUCAUCACCAUAAUGAUGAUACUGGAGGUCAAGAGAUCAACCCCUGCCUCCCAUAAUUUGGCCAUAAUAUGUGGCUGGUCUUAGUUGACCAUCCCCACUGCCUCGAGCCAUAACCAAUUCAAACAUGCAUAUGUGGUAUACGGGCAAAUAAACUCCCUGGCCACCAGGGAGGAGGGUCCUUGAGCUGUGUAGGUGAGGGUGUAAAUCUCAUUUGUAACAAAAAAAAAAUUUAAGGUUAGUAUCAUGACAUUCCAUUGAUCUAGUUGGAUUCGUAUACCCACUAGUCCCUAACACAAGCCUCUUUAGGCUCCUCUUCUCAUUUGUAACAAAAAAAAAAAAAAAAAAAUUUAAGGUUAGUAUCGUGACAUUCCAUUGAUCUAGUUGGAUCUGUAUACCCACUAGUCCCUAACACAAGUCUCUUUAGGCUCCUCUUCUCCUUAAAUUAGGAUAAAAUAGAUUGUACAAUGUAUCGUUGCCGGCAAAUAUUUGGACUACUUAGACGAGUGUGUAGUUUCCCAUCAAUAGUAGAAUUAGAUCAUACAACAUAGCGGUCCCAAGUGCCUAGUAUUUUUCUCCAUACUCGCAGCUAAAAGUACCCUCCUCAGUCUCAUCAUUCGAGUUACCAUUCCAACAUUGAAGGGGUUUACGAGUGAAAACUAUUAAGAAGAUUUUGUUCCUCAUCUUGGUUCUGAGUUCCGGUAAAUAAUGUACAUUAUCAAAUAUUUCAUUUUUUGUAAAUAUAUUUUUCAAUUAUUUUUUUAUCUCGCACGCAUUAAAUCACUAUAGUAUAUUUUUUUCACAAAAACUUCAGCAAAUAGCAAUUCAAAUAGGUUUACUCGAAUUUUUUUUUUUUUUUUUGGAGUGAGGAGUUUGCCUUUUGUUGCUUUUUUUUUUUUUUUUUGUAUCGCAAUGUGGAAUUUAUUGCAUUGCUUUUCGAAAUAUCUGUGGACUACCACCCUUCAAGUUAGUAAGUUUCAGUGGGAAGAUAAAAGAAACAAGUCAAUAACCAUAUGCUCGUUUUUCCUCCCGUUCACCUCACCGCCACUAUAGCACAGGUAUGCGCUGUUCGAGGCUAACAGGUCAAAUUCAUUAGAAGCGUCUUUCAAUCCGAAAAAUUAUGCUAACUGUUUUAUGCCGUUGUUUAGUUCACAAUCACAUUCGUACUUGUGAAAAAGUAGUAGUAAACUCGUAAUUUCGUACUUAAUCGAAAAAGCAUAUAGUACUAGAUUGAACAUUGGAUCUUGCAUCCCAGUUUUCAACUCUACUAGAGUUCUAAGCAAAACGUCAUAAUAAUGUAGAUCGAAACCUUAAAAUUCCUGUAUAAAAUUACUAGCCGCAUGUGCCUCUGACGACCUCAUUCCAAGUCUUAUGGGUCCGGUGUAGGAGCUGAUGUUAAAGACGAGAAUACUCUUCAUGUUAUUUCUAGUUAUCUUUUAUGCACAACCUAACCUGCCCUUUUUCCUUUUUGUUGUUAUUGUUUACUAUUUUGGGCUGCAAUGAACGUGCGAUGUGCAUCUAAAUCCUCCCAAAUUUCCGUCUGCUGCCACAAGAACGAUAUCAAGAAUUAGUUAUCGCUUAGACUAAAAACAAAGAGAUAUAUAUGUAUAUUAUAUAGUCACCAAACAUAAUUGAAAGAAAACGAGUUUGAGAGCUGAUUCCAGCUUCUCUACUUGUAGGGAGCUAUUCAAUUUCCGGUUUUCACUCACAUGACCCCUAUUAGCACCAUUUGGUAAUGUAAGACUAGGGAUGGCAACGGGGCGGGGUUGGGGCGGGACCCCUCCCCCGUCCCCCGCCCCGUUGCCUAUUAGUUCCCCCCGUCCCCCGCCCCGUCCCCCGUGCCCCGCUUCCCCCGCAGGGACACCCGCGGGAUUAAUAAAAUUUUAUUAUAAUUAAAUUUUAAUAAAUAAUCAAGUACUAAAAUAUCAACACAUCACCAAAUUAUUAUUCAUUGUAAUUUUACAAUUGAAACUCAUAAAAACAAUCAAACAGAAGUUAUUUGAAUACAAUCCAAUAUGAUGAAAUAAAUAUAACUAAAAUAGUCAAAUUUUCACUUUUAGUACAAAUGCAAUCACUAAUUCAUCAUUGUGUUUGUGCUUUUUUUUUGAGAAAAAAAUGUUAUUCUAUUAAGUGUAAUUAGAAAUUUAGUAUAAAUGUAUUAGUAAAUUUAGUAUAACUAAUUAAUAAAUUCUAUUAGUAGACAUGUAUAAUUAUUCAUAUAAUUGAUAAUAUCAAUUAUAUUACAUAAACUAAUAUACAUUAUAUAAUACAUCUAACUAAUAAUAUCAUUAUCAUAAGUUUAUAACUAAUUAACUUACAUAUAAUAUAUAGUCAUUUAUAUAUAUAUAUAUAUAUAUUUUUUUUUUUUUUGCCGGUGGCGGAGCGGGGGAUGGGGCGGGGGAGUAUACCCCCGCCCCCCGCCCCGUUUCUAAGCGGGGGGAAAAAAUUCCCCCCCGCCCCCGCCCCGUGAGCCCCCCGCGGGCACCCGCCCCCAUUGCCAUCCCUAUGUAAGACGUUAACCAGAGACGAAACUACACAUUUGAUUCUCGAGCAUUUCUAAGCAGCAACGCUAAUCUGCUAAAUGUAUUACUCAAUCAUUUUUUUAAAAUUUUAUAUACUUUAAAAUAAAGAGUAAAUCUUAUAUACACUGUCCAGUAUAUACACUAUCACGAUUGGAUGAAUGACACACGUGAGUAAAAUUUAAAUUUCAAAUUCAAAUUUUAUACAUGUGUCAAAUAUCUAACGAUGAUAAUGUAUAAACUGACAGUGUAUACAAGAUUAAUCCUAAAAUAAAUUACGUGUAAAAGCGUGUAAAAGGGCUCGAGUCACUUCUUGAGAGACACCUGAAUUAGCAUAUAUUUUUAUCUAGUUGCCCUUCCCGCAUGAUCGACCAUAUUGUUUCGUUCUCUUUUUACGUCAUAUUUGAUCGACCAUAUGGUACGUCAUAUUUUUAUUACCACCAAAAAUACAUUUGAUGCUUAAAUAAGAAGUAGUACUGUAGUUAGUUUAUUUAAUUGAUUUAAUUUCCGCCCCAAAGUGAUUCCACAACGGGUGAAGAGAACGGAGCAGAGAGAUUAAAUAGAACCAUUUUGGGUCCUCCAACAUAUGGGCACUUGUCGAUGGUUUGCAAAGUGUGGACCGAAGAAGUAAUGAAUUUAAUCAGCUACAGGAAGAGAUACAAAGACAACUCACGUUAAAGGAGCUGGUCGUACAACAGAUGCUUCUACUUCCACCACCUUGUUCUCUCUCAAGUUUCCUUGGCUCAAAUUGAUUGGCACACUGAGCCCAGGCCACUAAAAUUUGUGUCAAUGUCAAUUCUUCCCUCAUCAUCACUACAUUCGAAUAUCUAUGGGACGUGCCUUCAUUUAAGCUGCUGCCUAUAGCGGAUUCCGCUAUAGUAGUAGUAGUAGUACUACUACUAUUUAUUGAGAUACUACCUAAUUUCAUGCUAGUACUUCGCACCUAAUUGCCAUCAACCCGUCAGGGCAUCUUCUUUCUCCGUUCUGAUCAGAUUGCAUUGCGUAUGAACGGGGACGAUUUGCUUUGGUGCUCUGGUUGGUUAAAAUGCGCUUUGCCCAUAGAGGCAUGCUACUCUUCCAAAUUUCUCUCUAAAUAAACAGCCAUACUAACUAAUCCAUGUGGCUUCUUUUCCCACCUUUUCAAUGAUGGAGCCAAGGGGGGUUGAGGGGGGCAUGCCCCCUAAGUUUUGAAAUUUUUAAUUCAUAGUAUGUAAAUAUAUGCAUAAGACAAAGUUGGCCUCUCCUAACUUUUUACAAUUUUAGUUUAUAUUAUGAGAGCUAUGUGUGUGUGUGUGUGUGUGUGUAUGAAUUAGCCACAUUUGAUUUAAUUUUUUCUUCAAAAAAAGUUAUUUAUUUUUUAUUGUGCUAAUUAUUUAACAUUCAAAAAAUUAAACAUAUAAUUUCAUGAUCCAUAGUAAAUUAACCCAAUUUGAUAUAUUAUAAUAAAAGACUCAAUUCAUAAUUAUGAAUGGGCUAAAAUAAAAAUAAUUACUUUAUUGGUUCAUAUACAAAUAUACAACUUAGCCUAAUUGAUAAAAAAAAUUAAAAUUAGUGAUCUAUCCUCUUGUUGACCCAUAUACAAAUAUACAAAUAAUUACUUGAAGGCUUGGUGAAGACAAGAAAUUGAGUGAUCUAUCAUGUUGUUGAUAGAUUGAUUACAUUUGUUUUCACUCUUUAUGUAUCAACUACAACUAUAGAACAGACAUUUUCAAUUAUAAAAAUAAUCAAAACAAAACUGCAAAACAAGAUAAAAGAUAAUUUCUUGAAUGAUUGUCUAAUAAUAUACAUAAAAAAGGGAAGUUGUUCAAAAAUUUAGCACUGAUUCAAUUAUAGAUGAAUUUAGUUAUAGAAAAUAAUGUAAAGCUCAAUUUACUUUUAAGAAAAGAGGUUGAAAUUUCAAGGUGUGCGAACAUAACUUUUAUCCUUUUUUUAAUUGAAAAUAGUUAUAUUUAUAUUGCACAGUUAUAUUUUUGUUUUUGCACAAGUGACGUAUUGGAUCAUCUUCUCAUAAUGUACAAUUUGGAUAGUUUGUAAUGUUAUAAGAUAUUUAAUCAAAGGUUAUUUCUUGUUCUAAUUUUUGUUAUGACUAUGCUUCAUAUUUAUGAAAUAGACAUACCUUUAUAAUUAAAUUUAAUAUUUGAUAUUUUAAGAUGUCAUAUAUUUAAAUCGAUGAAAAUUAUUUUGAAUAUAACAUAUUAAGAUAAUUUUGUUCAAAAAAAUUUUGGCCCCCCUCCCAAGGAAAGAAUCCUGGCUUCGUUCUAUAGUCUAUAGAAUGGACAUUUUCAAUUAUAAAGAUAAUCAAAACGAAACUCCAAAACAAGAUAAAAGAUAAUUUCUUGAAUGAUUGUCUAACAUUGUACAUAAAAGAAGGAAGUUGUUCAAAAAUUUACUAUUGAUUCAAUUAUAGAUGAAUUUAGUUCUAUGAAAGAACGUAAAGCUCAACUUACGUUUAAUAAAAGAGGAUGAAAUUUCAAGACAUGUUAACAUAAUUUUUAUCUCUUUUUAAUUGAAAAUAGUUAUAUUUAUAUUGCAUAGUUAUAUUUUUGUUUUUGCACAAGUGACAUAUUGGAGCAUUUUCUCAUAAUGUGCAACUUAAGUGGUUUGUGAUGUUAUAAGAUAUUUAAUCAAAGGUUAUUUAUUGUCUUAAUUUUAGUUAUGACUAUGCUACAUAUUUAUGAAAUAGACAUAUCUUUAUAAUUAAAGUUAAUAUUUGAUAUUUUAAGAUGCCAUAUAUUUAAAUAGAUGAAAAUUAUUUUGAACAUAACAUAUUAAAAUAAUUUUGUUCGAAAAAAUUUUGGCCCCCUCCCAAAGAAAAAAUCCUGGCUCCGUCACUGCACCUUUUUUCUCUUGUGUGGAACUCAUUAGGAACAUGUUUAGCAACCAAUCUCACUUGAUUAUCGUGAUGAGAAGCAAUCAAGAACAGGAAAACUAAAGAAUGUGUUUGGAUAGGAAAUUAUUUGAAUUAAUUAUUGCAUCACGACACUCUUUGUAAUGUGUUGUAUGUAAGAUAAAAAGAUAGUUGAAAUAAAUUAAAAAAAAUUGAUUGAAAAAUUAACUUGUGAUGCAAGCAAAAAUGUUUUGUUUUUAAUUUUCUUGAAGCACGCUUUCCAAUCAGCAAAACUGGCUCCUUGGUCUCUAAAUUGAUUGGGAAUUAGUAACACUCUAAAAAUUUUUGAAGCAUGUUGUAACACUCUAAAAAUUUAAAUGAAUAGAAGUACUAACUAAGAGGGGAAAAAAAAAAACUCAUCUCUUUCUCUUUGAUAGAUGGUUGACAGCCCGAAACAACCAUUACAUUUUAUUUUUCCUUUUUGGCAAACCAUUAGGUAGGUCAUUUUAAUAAAAAAAAAAAAAUGGAGUAUCAAUGCUACGAAGCUCUCAUGGGAACCCAUCUCAUUUUGGCAAGUUAUCUUUGGUUCCUGCCCUCCCUCUUUAAUGUGCUUAUGGGCCUCAUUAAUAUCUCAUCGCGUGAAGACUGUCAGUAAUUUUUUUUUUUAUUACUGUUAAUUCCGUAGUUACUCUCCUCCGUAAGAUUGAAAAGGAAUUCAAUAUGGUUAGAAUCUCAAUAGAGCGACCGUCGCCAUGCACCGUCAGAGAAACAGGUAAAAGCAUAUGGAAGUCAUAUUUAGUUCACCAUAUUGGUUCAAUACAUAUAAUAUAUUAUCUUAUUGUUGGACCAUUGAUGAAGGUCAAAAUUUAAGUAUUCUUAUUGGGACCAAGUGGGUUCAGGACUAUUCUAGUCUAUUUUUGAAAACAGCAAUCCAAUUCAUGGCGUGCCACGGUCUUUGAGAUUCGGCUUUCUUUGUUUGCUUUUCUAUUUUCCCUUGCACCAUUAAGCAUUGGAACAACACGAAAUUUUAAAAAGAAAAAAAAUAAAAUAUAUGUGUGUGUGUGUAGUGAUUAAACUACGCGUUUAAGAAAUAGUAAAAGGGUUACUGCCCUUUAGUUUGCAACCUUACCUCUUGUCCCAGACACAUCCAACCGUCAAUUUUACCAGACACUACUGAUUGUGGACUAGAAAAAGUGAUGUUAACCUUCUUUUAACUUUUAUUAAAAAUUGGCUUGUUACUCCAUAUUUAUAUGGACCAAAAAUAAAGUAAAAUUAGGGGGGGGGGGGGGAAAUCCAGAAGAAAAGAAAAUAGUUAUGAAAAAUUUAUUUUAUCUUUGGUAUAUGUUCAUGUAUUUUUGGAACAAAAAGAAAAGAAAAUAACUUGCAUUUAAAUUCCAAAAAAAAAACUAUUAUAUGCUACUCUGUUUGGAUUGUAAAUUAUUUGAGAUAUUUUUACUGUAGCACUUUUUGUGAUGUGAUGUCUGUGAGAUAAAAAGGUAAUUGGGAAGAUAAAAAGGUACAUUGAAAAUUGUAAUGGUUAUGUAAGCAAAUAAAUUUUGGCUAAUAAAUCUCUAUCCAAACAAACCCACUUAAGUAUUAUUGCUAUUCAAUCCAAACACUAACCAAUAAGUGUUAGGUGGGCCAUUAGGUAAAUUACAAGAUGCAAUCAGGGUCCCUAACCCAUUGGCUCAUUUGAGCCUGCCCUCAGUAUGGAUUAGAGCAAGAGUAGCGCAAGAGGUGGUCGGAAAAAAAAAAAUCAAUUCAAACACUUUUUUUUUUUAGGAUUAGUUUCAUUCUGCAUCUUUCAGCUGUUUUUAGAUUUCCACAUUUAAAACUGAGGCACUUUAGUUUCUAAAAUAUAAAAUUUGUCCAAUUUAAAUGAAAUUAUUGGCGGGAGUUGGAUAGAUUAUAUAAAAUCUGCCCAAAUUUAAGUGAAAUUAUUGGCGAGAGAUGGGCAGAUUCUAUAGCAUAGAAACUAACGUGUCUUGCUUUGAAAUUUAAAGACAAAAAUGAGAAUUUGGGUACAGUUGAAGGAUGUAAAGUAAAACUUACGAACCGUAGACUGUAGACUGCAGAAGAGUCAUAUUUGCAUCACUCCUACUAGUAGGCCAAGUACUAUGAAAGAACGCUGGGGACGAAACCAAGAAGUAAGUGGCUGAAUUUGGUCAAUACAGCUGUGGGAAGUAGAACUCGUGCAUUGGUAUUUGACUAUUGCAAAGUUAUUUUCAACCAUUCAAGAGUCUCUCUAAUCAGCAGUGAGUCGAGUGCGUAAACUCAUCGCUUGCUUGCAUUUUAAGCCUCCCCACCUUUCUCAACUCAGACUUCCCUUCUCAGUUCUCUCUCUCUCUCUCUCUCUCUCUCUCAUCUAUUUCUUUCUUUUUUGGUUUUAAUCCUCCAACUCCUUAGCACUUUCCCCGCCCAAUUUGAUGCAGCUUAUAUUAAACAUUAAUUUUUACGCCAAAUACAGUACUCUGCUCUCCUCUGUCUGUGUGCUCCGUCAUUAAGAAAAUGAUGGAGUAAAAUGCUGGGUCGGUCAUUUGAGGGCCAUAGUGAAGGCCCCCCCCCCCCCCCAAAAACAAAAACUCUCUUCUCUCUUCCUCUGCCUCCCAAAAAGAAAAGCGAAAAACAUAAAAUAUAAACACUGCUCCUCCCUACUCUCCUUUAUUAAUAUAGGUUAGACACACACACAUAUAAAUAUCACAUUCCCUUUGAUCAAUUCCCCCCGCCCAUCAAACUAAAUGCCCGGUUCCAUAUAUUCUAAUUCCUAUUCAUCUUCAUUUUGAUGAUCUUCUCUUCUCACCUAAACACCCUGCAUCACCAGUCACAAUUCUGACCAUCCCCUCCCCCUCCCCCUCCUCUCCCCAAAACACAAGAAAAAGAAAGGAAAAAAAAAAAGAGAAGAGCCCAUCUCUCUUUUUAUAGCCUAGUUUCAUUAAAUAGGCUUCACUGUUUGCUGCUGCAGCACUGGUGGAGCAGAUCCCUCUUCAGAUCCUCCCUCUCAAAUAAUGGCUGACCCUCCCCACUCUGAAACUGAAUCAAGCAGCCAUUCAGGCACACUUGAUUCCGCUCACAUGCAUCACCACCGCAAACGCGGCAGAGAUGACAAUAAUACCACCACCACCACCACCACCACUUCCGCUGCCAGCAGAAGCAAUGAUGAUAAUGAUACCCAUCGUUCCAGUAAGAACAGCAAUAUUAGAAGUCAGACUGGGAACAACAGCAACAACAACAAUAAUAAUAAUAGCAGCAGCAAGCAUCCCGUGUAUAGAGGUGUCAGGAUGCGGGCUUGGGGAAAAUGGGUUUCGGAAAUCCGCGAGCCCAAGAAGAAGUCUCGGAUCUGGUUGGGCACUUUCGCCUGCCCCGAAAUGGCUGCCCGGGCCCACGACGUCGCGGCUCUCUCCAUCAAGGGCAAUUCUGCCAUCCUCAACUUCCCGGAGCUCGCGGGUUCCUUGCCUCGACCCGCCACGAGCUCCCCGCCUGACGUCCAGGCUGCUGCCUUAAAAGCCGCUCAAAUGGAUUUCGAAAUGGACGGACGCGCUAAACCCGGGGAUGAGUCUUCCCAUUCCCAGUCGUCCUCGUCCUCGUCCUCUCGGGUGAUGACGCCAUGCCUGUCCUCGAUGACGUCAUCAUCCUGCUCGUCCUCAUUGCUCUCCAGCGUCACGUCAUCAUCACCGUCCUCGUGCACGGAGGAGGUGUCCACGGCUGCGCAGGAGUCGGAGGCAGCGGCGGCGGAGGAGCUGUGCGAGAUAGUCGAGCUGCCGAGCCUGGGGGCGAGCUACGACUCGGUGGAGUCGGCCCGGGAGGAGUUGGUUUUCAUGGACUCCGUAGAUAACAUGGGAUGGGACUACGGUCACCCGUGGUUGCAUGGCAGUGUGGAAACCUAUGGAUAUUUUGGGGAAAACCACGCGGGAUUAAUGGGAAUGGCAGAAGUUGAUAAUCCUGUCGUUUCAGGAAGCUUUGAAGGCUUGUUAUGGCAGCUGCACUAGUGAAGAAGACAAGGGAUGCCGCUGCUGUUCUUGAGUAAUUAAUUCAAGCAAAUUGAUGGUGUGUUCAGUUUAUGGUUCUUAUUUUUUGGGACCUUUUUUUUUUUGGGGUUGAGUUUUGCUCUGUUAAUUUAUGAUGAAAACUCUCUUUAUUUUCAUGGAGUAAAUCUUUUUCCGUGGCUUGGGAAAAAAAAUUAUCAUAGUAGGUCUAGUAGCAAUAAAUGUAUUAUUAUACCUUUCUUGCAGCUCAAGUUCUUGCUGGUUACUUCAAAGUCGAAAGCACGAAGCAGUAGUAGUGGUAGUUUAGUAGCAGUAGCAGGAUUUUGUCUUCUUUGACACUCAGCCUAUAUGAUUGUAUGGGUGAUACGUUGAUGAUCAGAGAGAAAAAUAAAAGGAGAGAAAAGAAGGCAUCGUGAACGUUUUGUUUCUUGGUCCAGCUCCUUCCUCGCAUAAAUUAAAAAGGGUUGAGUUCAUUUGGUUUAGUCCUCUGUGUGUGUGUGUCUCUCUCUCUCUCUCUCUCUUCAAUGAUUAUUAUUACGGGAGCAGCAGCAUAUGUAUAGACUGCUUUACAAACCAGAAGAAGAAAAGAAAGGGGCAUCAUUGACUACUACUUUAUUAUUGGCCCAUCGCUGUUUAAAAAGAGAUUGCUCCGUAUCCUUGCAUUAGUCUGCUCAAUGAGGUAAGUUCUACGUACUUUUCGUUGCAUAAUUUAAGAAUUGACGAUCCAACCGAGUAUAUAAUUUUUUUUUUCUUUUUACCUUUGCUCUUUUUUUUUUUUCCAAUUUUCAAUGAGGGUUUUUUUUGGCCCCUUCGUACUGGUCUUUUGACGGUUCAAUCAAAUUCCGUGUCCCUCUUUCUAGCUUUUCGUUUUAUUCUUUAGCUUCUCUUGUCCAUGAAACUAACGAGGAAAAGCCAUGGACUUCCAAAAAUUGGGAUGCCGAAGACUGCCCCUAAAAUUAAAGUCGCUUCGCCGGGGCUGUCGCCGUGCACAAACAAAAUUGCACUCGUCUUUUUUCGUUGAUCUUCUAUUUGCUAAUUAAAGAAUGACCCAAUUUCUUAUAGUAGUAUUCCGUCAUCAUGAUUGUCAUUGUUGUUGUCUUUAUUGGUACCAUAAACUAUUAGUACAAUACAACAACAUUUAUCGGUGCCAUUUCGCAAAUGGGGUGCCACCAAAGCAGUAACUGCCCAGCGUAUAUGGUAGUGGUAGCUUAAUUUAGCUUUAUCUAGACUAGACUCUCUAUAGAGUGAGCAGCGGCUGCAAAUAGAUAAUUACACGGCGAUGAAGAAAAUUUUGGAGGAGGCAAAGUUGAUGAAAUAGGUGGAGUUUUGGGGGGCCUGAGAGGGACGGGCAGGGUAACCCCCCGCAAAGAGACGGAUGCUUGAAUUGAAUGGUCGACUGGUUUUGGUAAAGGGAUCCUGGCCAGUUUGACCCUGCAACUAUGCUUAAUACUACUAACAUUUUUCUCGAGUACAAACAGUUUGGCUUACACCCUGCCUAGAGUGAAAGACGCGAGUUUGGCUAGGAUUGAAUAAAGGAAAAAGAACUCAAAAAAAAUCAACUAGCUACCAUUUAGCAAAAUUUGGUGGGUCUUUUAGGGACUUGCUGGAUCGAUUUUCAAGUGAAAAGCAGAAGAGGAUGACUAGGUCUAGGUGGGGUGAUUUUUUUCUCUGUGUUUGUGAGGAGUUGGGCAAAAUUGACGUUGAUUUUGACACCUCAGCCAGCAUAGGAAAAACAGCUUUCAUCCAGCUAUCCUUGCUUUUAUGUCCUAUUUUUAUAUCCUUCUUGUUAUUUCACAAACACGAUUCAUUUCAUUCAUUCAUGCCGUGCCGUGCCCUGCCUGCAUGGGUCUACAUUACAUAUACCCUCCUCUUUUUUUUUUUCCCUCUUUUAAUAAAAAAAUUUGAAUAGAUUUAAUUCGGAUCAUCAUUGCUGUAUUACGUGUCAGGACAUGCUUUCAAAAUCACGCAUCACUUACAAUAAUUUUUACCAAAAAAGCUAACAAUCCUCACGUCGAUACCGGAUUUAAAUACUCAAAUUUUUUUUUGAAAAAAUAAAAGUGAUUCAUGUUUUGUUCUUAUCAAUUAAAUCAACUAGUGCCUUCGUCCUCUUUUUUGGUUUACUUUUACCCUCUCUCCCACUCUUUAAGCAGUUUCCUCUUUUCCUUGGAUGAGUGAAAAGAAACUUGCAAGCAGCGUUCCACCAUGUGUACAAAUAGAAGCUAGUAAUAAUAAUAAUAUAUUUUCACACCAAAAAGCAAAACGUAGAAAAAUCGUUGGGCUUUUUCACGUGUUUUGAAUAAAUUAACGAAUAAAUUUGUGUAUCCGUCGAAAAUCAAAUAAAUUGAUAACGUUGCAGCGUCGAUCUUAUGCGACUAGUAGGGUUAGAAGUUUGGAGCUUAUUCGAACUACUGAAUUAGUUUCUCAAAAGAGAAAGAAACCAAGAACUUAUCAAACAACCAAAUUAACGUCCUCUGAAAAUGUCACUUUAUCUUUUGAGGGGCAACGACGGGGAAACAGAUUAAUACAAUGAACUCUAGAACGUGUUUUUGCAUUUCUCAAUACUGAAAGCUGGAAUCAGAUUUACCCGAAACUCGGUCAAAGCCAAAGAAAAUGAUUAGAAAAAAAAUAUAUAUAUAUAUAUAUAUGAACUAAGUGGAAUCAGAUUCAUUCUAGCGAUGCUGGUUAAUACGGGACUAAAUUAUUAUUAGAAGAGAUUUGAGCAGAAUUUGAUGGAUUACGGAUGUUAGACAGCCUCAUUCCUUCAACUACCCUCGACAAAUCACGCCUCUCCAAUCCUCAAGAUCAUUGCCCUAUUAUUAUACUUUUACUAUUGAAAAAAAAAUAUGCACGCAUGCCAUGGAUUUCUCAAUGGUCCAACGCAUUUGCGGUCACACAAUAUUUUAAUCAGUACAAGCCUAUUGAAGAAAAUGCUUAAGGAGAUAAUAGUAGUGUGGCUAAAAUACUCAUGCUUGGAUUGCAUUUUUUUGGGUAGAAAAAUUACUGUAACGAUUUAAUAUAUGUGAGGUAAAAAGGUGAUUGAAAAAUAUAUUCACGAAAAAUAUAAUAAAUUUUCUUUGAAAAAACAUAGCAAUCUAGAAAUUGUUUGAAAAAUUGCUUUCCAAACCAAAAAAAAAAAAAAAAAGGCUAUUAAUAAAAUGAGGCUGUAGACUAAGAAGAAGAACAUGACAAAACAGUAAAUUUAUAAUUAUGAUUAAUAGUAGAAGUGUGUCUUGGAAGGUUGUUGGAGACUUUUGGAGUUUUUAGUUGUAAAGAUAUGCAGUUGCCCAAAUCUAAACCAAACAUAUGUUCAAGUAUUAACGAAUCUCGGCUUAAUUUAUGGUUCUGAUUAAAGACCUUCUAAAUUUGACACGUAAUAAUCCAGUGUUGCAUUUUUUUUAUUUUUAUUUUUAUUUUUACCCAGAAAUCGUGAUGGAGGAGGAGGAGGAGGAGGAGAUUAAAAAGAAUGGACAACUUGUGGAUGAAUCGUGCUUGGUGGUUGAAUCGAUACGAAAGCGUACUGAACCAACCAAAGUAAAAGAAAAACCAAAAAAAGAAGAUAUUUUGAGAAGGUAAGGCAUGUUUUUGCUUACCUACCACCAUCUAUUUAAAGCAAAUUAAAGAAUUUUCUUUUCUUCCCACAUAUAUAUAUAUAUAUAUAUAUAUUUUUUUUUUCGUUAUACAAUUCAUCCUGGACACGCAAAAUUGACACAUGGAUUCCACUUUGAACAUGUUAAAUAAGUACGAGUUGAAAAAGAAAAAGAAAAAACUGAUAGUACUACAGAAAAGCCAGUGUAUAAAUUUCAAAUCAAGCCGUAUAAAUAAAUUAACCUGUAGUUUGUACCACAUUUCCAGACUGUUUUAUGGGCAAGAGCAAUAAAACUCGAUUCUUGGCCCGGCACAUCAGGUCAAGCUAAUAAACCUGUAACAAGGAAAUGCCUCCUAGCUCUAUUCUAUACACAUUUUGAAUGCUCGCCCGACCAACAACAAGAUUUGCUCAGUUUCCGACCCAAAUUCCGUCUUCUGGCUUUGCUCAGUUGCGCCACCCAUUUUCAGAGACUGUGAAGUCAAACUUUUGCGACACCAUCCCAUCACCGCGACAGCUAUAAGCCUGUAAGCUGAGAUGAUGUCGGAACAAGUCCAAAGGAAGGAAGACAGCCAAAUACUGCACUUUACCUUUAAUUAUGGCUGCUACUUUCAAUACGCUUUCUCCCACAGAUUCAUUCGUUAGACUCUUCUUCGUCCUCUUAAAUUAGAUUAAAAUAAAUUAUAUAAAUAUUAUUGUUGCAAUAAAUUUAAAAAAAAAAAGAAAAAGAAAAAGAGUACUGCACUUGACUAUGGUACGUAUAUGGUGAGUUUCUUCACUUCUUUGCUAGUGGCGUGCAGUACUUCUUUAAGGGGACAUUACGUGAAAUUCGUAACAGCGACAGGAUAGCUUAACAUGAUGGUCUGGAUUAUUAAAGUUUUGUUUGGAAACAGUAGUGAAAUGUGUAGAUCUACUAGCUACGGGUUUUUUUCUUUUUUGCCACAGGGAACCGCUACAGGGUUUUUUUUUUUUUUUUUGGUAUAUCGAAGAAAAAAAAAAGAAAAAAAAAUCAAAGCAAAUAAAUUGGUAAAUAAGCCAACUUUCGUCCAAGUACCCUUUACUAGGGGUGGCAAUUCGGGUCCAAAUCAGGUUGGCGGGUCGGGUUCGGGUCAACCCGCCAGAAAAUCUGUUGACCCGAACCCGACCCGCCAACCCGUGACGGGUCAGGUAUGCUGACCCGAACCCGAAAAUUUCAGGUUGACGGGUUGGCGGGUCGACCCGAAAUGACCCGAAACUUAAUUUUAAUUUAUUAAUUUAUCACUGUAAUUUCUAAUAAAAUCAAUUUCUCACAAAACUAAUUACAUAAUCAAGUAAUAAAAAUUUAAAUAAGUAAUUCCAAACCAAAUCUAAAAUAAAUUAAAUACCGUAAAAGUGUUUUAUCCCAAACAAAAUAUAAAAUAAAUUAAAACAGUAUAAAAGUAAAAAAUAAUAUAAUAUAUUAUUUGUCCAAAUAAAAUAAUUUCAACUUCACACAAAUUAAAUAAAUUCAUUUAUGAUUAAGUAAUUAAUGCCUUUGAAAAAAAGAAUAACUUAGGUUAGUUAGAUAAAAUUAUUUUUAUAUUUAUUAAAUUAUUUUUAAUUCGUAAACGGGUCAUAUCGGGUCAUAUCAGGUCACCACAGGUUGACCCGAAAUCGACAUGUUUUCUUUUCGAGUUCAUCGGGUCCAACCCGAUUCUGACCCGAAUUCCCAAAACCUCAACCCAAACCCAUUAAUUUCGUGUUAGGUUCGUGUCGUGUUUUCAGGUCGUGUCGAAAAUUGCCACCCCUACCCUUUACCUCCCACAGAAUAAAAUACAGGUAAUUAACAGAUUUUUUUUUCGAUCUUUAUUUUUAUUUAACCAUGAUUACCUUGAAAUUACAAUUUCAAUACUAUUUAAGGACAUGUCGUGAAGUAUUAUUAUUAGCUAAUGCUUUCCUAAUUACGGCAUAUUCUUAAGGUCCAAGAUAGUCCUAUAAUUAUUAAAAUUCAUAUUUGUUUGGAUUGUGGUUUAUUCGUCAAAAUAUAUUUGCUUAUACCAUCAUUAUAAUUUUCAACGCACCUUUUUAUCUUUUCAAUUACAUUUUUAUCUCACAUACAUCAAAUCACAAAAAGUGCUACAGUAAAAAUAUCUCUAAUAAUUCACAAUCCAAACAAAAUGACUUAUUAUUGCCGCAUGAUUGAGUUAUUCACUUCAUAUAUAGAUAAUACUAUAGUAUAUUAUUAGCUAAAAGUAGCAGUAAUAAUUUGUACUUACUACAGACUAUAUAACACAGCGACGGCUCGGGCCCAAUCAAAACAUGUAGUCAUAUUAAUCCCUAACCAUACAAUCAAAACAUGUAGUCAUAUUAAUCCCUAACCGUACAAUUAAGUCCAUUAUUGCUCAAGCUAGAGUUGACCUUGUUAUUAAUCAGCCGGCUAUUCAUCAAGAUUCAACAUUCAUCAUCUCUUCGAUCAAGUAUUUCUUUCCUAUAUUAUAUAUACAUCUGAGAAGAUGAAAAGGCAAUAAUAAUAAUAAUCAUAAUAAUAUUUCCUGAAAAUUCAUUGGCUUUUUUUUUUUUUUAUAAUGUUUUAUUCUUCGCACUCAUGCGAAAUGAAGACCAUAAUUUGACCUUUCUUUAUCUACUCCUGUUUGAUACUCCCUCCCUUUUUUAUAACCGACGUUUAAGGAAUUUGCUCUUAAGUACUUUUAUCUGUCGUUGUAUUAUCCCCAUGCAGCAUUAAUUAUUUUUUCACAAUUUUACCCUUUUAUCUCUCCUUACCAAUACAAGGCGCUUAAUUACUACUCCUAGUAAUUAUUACUUCUCUCUUUGCUUUUGACCUAGUAAAACAGCACCAUUUAAUACUCUAAUGAGAGAAAACAUGAGUGAAUUGGACAAUUAAUGAGGGUACAAAAGGAAAGUAGUGUAUAGAUUUAAACAAUGAAAAACUUUUCUUAAUUGGUGUGCAAAACCUUAAACGUCAGUUAUAAAAAAAGGGAGGGAGUAUUUAUUACACAUAACUGCGGUAAUUAGGAAGUUAGUGCAGAUUACUCUUAAUGAGGAAAGCACUUAAGCUUAAUCACGUGAGUGCUAAAUAUUAUUAUUGUUAUUAGUAUUGUGAUUUGGAUUCUGACUACAGCGCAAACAGUUGAAACAUGUCAUUUUCAGUAACAUGUUAGUAUAAAUGACAACGGUUUAGAGUCAAAAUCAAGCCACGACAAAUCAUGUAGCAUUAGUUAUUAUCACUCUAAUGCAUUCUGGACAUCGAUUUUAGAACUAAUUCCGACCUUAACUAUUAGUAUAUUAUCUUCAAACUUUCACUUCCUACAUACGCGGGACGAACAGCAUUUCGAAGCGCUGAAAUGGAGCCUUUAUUAUUUCCAUUUCCAUUUAUUAAAGGAGCGAAAGAGAACUGAGAAUAAAGUACACUAAACAAUAAAUAAAUAAAAUCGGGUAGUAAAUGAAAAAAUUUGACGAGAUUUAUCACUUCACGGGUAUAAUUUCUCAAGUAUCCUUUAGCAAUUAGGACCAAUUUUGUAUUUUACUGCUGGAAUCUUAGCAUGUAACAUUAUUGGUUGCUCGCUUGUAUGGCGGAUAUUCGUGGUCUGUUAACAGCAUUUCCGAGGUUAAUAAGUUUUCGUAUCAAGAGCAUCUAAUGCCUGAACGGUUACUUCACUUUAAACAAAUUGAACAUGGUUGUCGUCGAAAACAUCAAAUCCAUACGCCAACUUCAGGUAUGGUUCCUUACAAGUCACUUUCACAAAUAAACAUUUCCUUGAACAAAACAAAUAGUAGCCAUUACUAAAGGUUACUCAAUUGUGGUUAUUGGUUUUCUAAAACAUAAUCUUACAAAGUUUAGGAGGGUAUGAAUCAAGUGUGAUAAAAAUCCUCGGAUCAAAAUCUCAACUUUAGCUUCAAAGUGGCAAGAAGGAACAUAUCCGUCCGUAGAACAAAGUUCAAGGACUUUUUGUUCUACGGAUUUGAACGGAUUUCUAAAAGUUUAAGAACUAUAAAAACCCUCAUGAAAGAAUAAUGAAUUUCUAUUGUAACUUCCCCAAUUCUUCCUUAUCCUACCUAGUAUAGGUAAUAUUCCCUCUGUCCCAUUUUAAUAGGUUUGUUUUUCUUUUUCAUUCAUCCCGAAUUAUGGUCCACUUUUCCACCUUCCAAUUAAAAAAUACAGUUAUAUUAUAACUUCUCUAAGAUGCCCUUAUUUAAUAUUUUAGUACAAUCUAACUUAUUGCAUGUAAAGCUAAUUAGUCAUACUCAAUUAUUCAAUAUAAGGGUAUUUUAGACAGAUAGUAAGUUAGAUUUAUUUUUCUAACAAAGUUAAUUAACUUUGGAUAAAUUAUUUAUUACCUCCUAUGCUUUUAUAGAAUGUCAAAUAAUACUCCGAAAGUUUUAAAAUUGCCACAUAACCCCUCUUUGUGAUUUUAUGUAAAGUGAAAAAUAGACGGAACACACAAUCAGUUGCGGCGUUGAUGCCAAACGCCCUUUAAAAGCGCGUGCAAUAAAAUUUUAAUAUUUCUUGUAUAAAUAUUCACUUUACCUGUUUGUGACUUUUGCAUUUAUCCACGUAAUCUUCUUAUACUUUUAUACAUGGUGAUUAACCGUUGAUUAAUUUAGCAUUUAAAUAAGGACACUAUUAAUAUUUCAACUAAUGACGUUACAUAGUUAUUUUUCAUCAAGUUCCUACUUUAUAUAAAAUUAUAAGGGAGUGAAGUGGACAUUUUGAAACGUUAGAGGAAUUAUGUGACAACAUAUAAAACUACAAGGGGAUUACAUGUAAUUUGCCCAUUAAAUUUUCUUAAAUUGUGUGAUUAAAAAAAACAAAAAAUUAAGCCUGUCAAAGUGGGAGAGUAAUGUUUUAUAAAAGCCCUAAUUAAGGCUACAACCUACAAUGAGUAAAGUCUCCCUCAGUGGUCUUCUUUAAAUAUCCACCCGUUUCACAACAGUCUUGUAGGUAACCAGUCAUUAGCAAGCUCGUUCCCACUUAGAUUGGUGCCCCCCUUGGAAAUGACACCCCUUCGAUAUUUCAGUUUCAAUGUGGGCAAAUCGAAAAUCGGGCGUAAUUCCACUUGCUUUAGGAGCUUUGAAGGUUCCUUAAUUAUUUAUUAGUUGAGAAAUGUACGUGGUUGAAGCUCUCUUGUCCUAACCUCAUUAGUAUCGCAAUAAUUAAUUUCAUAUGACUGGAACUUCAAACCCAAACUAAGAUUGCGAUGAAUAAAAAUAAAAACAAAUAGUAGCCAUUACUAAAGGUUACUCAAUUAUGGUUAUUGAUUUUCUAAAACAUAAUCUUACAAAGUUUAGGAGGGUAUGAAUCAAGUGUGAUAAAAAUCCUCGGAUCAAAAUCUCAACUUUAGCUUCAAAGUGGCAAGAAGGAACAUAUCCAUCGUCCGUAGAACAAAGUUCAAGGACUUUUUGUUCUACGGAUUUGAACGGAUUUCUAAAAGUUUAAGAACUAUAAAAACCCUCAUGAAAGAAUAAUGAAUUUCUAUUGUAACUUCCCCAAUUCUUCCUUAUCCUACCUAGUAUAGGUAAUACUCCCUCUGUCCCAUUUUAAUAGGUUUGUUUUUCUUUUUCAUUCAUCCCGAAUUAUGGUCCACUUUUCCACCUUCCAAUUAAAAAAUACAGUUAUAUUAUAACUUCUCUAAGAUGCCCUUAUUUAAUAUUUUAGUACAAUCUAACUUAUUGCAUGUAAAGCUAAUUAGUCAUACUCAAUUAUUCAAUAUAAGGGUAUUUUAGAAAGAUAGUAAGUUAGAUUUAUUUUUCUAACAAAGUUAAUUAACUUUGGAUAAAUUAUUUAUUACCUCCUGUGCUUUUAUCGAAUGUCAGAUAAUACUCCGAAGGUUUUAAAAUUGCCACAUAACCCCUCUUUGUGAUUUUAUGUAAAGUGAAAAAUAGACGGAACACACAAUCAGUUGCGGCGUUGAUGCCAAACGCCCUUUAAAAGCGCGUGCAAUAAAAUUUUAAUAUUUCUUGUAUAAAUAUUCACUUUACCUGCUUGUGACUUUUGCAUUUAUCCACGUAAUCUUCUUAUACUUUUAUACAUGGUGAUUAAACCGUUGAUUAAUUUAGCAUUUAAAUAAGGACACUAUUAAUAUUUCAACUAAUGACGUUACAUAGUUAUUUUUCAUCAAGUUCCUACUUUAUAUAAAAUUAUAAGGGAGUGAAGUGGACAUUUUGAAACGUUAGAGGAAUUAUGUGGCAACAUAUAAAACUACAAGGGGAUUACAUGUAAUUUGCCCAUUAAAUUUUCUUAAAUUGUGUGAUUAAAAAAAACAAAAAAUUAAGCCUGUCAAAGUGGGAGAGUAAUGUUUUAUAAAAGCCCUAAUUAAGGCUACAACCUACAAUGAGUAAAGUCUCCCUCAGUGGUCUUCUUUAAAUAUCCACCCGUUUCACAACAGUCUUGUAGGUAACCAGUCAUUAGCAAGCUCGUUCCCACUUAGAUUGGUGCCCCCCUUGGAAAUGACACCCCUUCGAUAUUUCAGUUUCAAUGUGGGCAAAUCGAAAAUCGGGCGUAAUUCCACUUGCUUUAGGAGCUUUGAAGGUUCCUUAAUUAUUUAUUAGUUGAGAAAUGUAUGUGGUUGAAGCUCUCUUGUCCUAACCUCAUUAGUAUCGCAAUAAUUAAUUUCAUAUGACUGGAACUUCAAACCCAAACUAAGAUUGCGAUGAAUAAAAAUAAAAAUAUGAAUUAAGUUUUUAUGCACUGUUACUGUAAAAUAUUUUGUACACUAGCAGAUAUCAAUUCAUACCACAUAUACAAAAAAUGAAAUUUAAAUUUGAAAUUAAGUUACGUGACAUGCAUCUACAUUCGCUCGUGUCAGUGUAUAAAAAAUAGCCCAAUAAUUAUUGCCCUCCAAAAGUCAUUCAAGUUAACUAUUUUAGCCCAGCUAAAAUUAGUCCUGCCAAUAUUACUGAUUUAAAUUCCAAUACGCAUCUUGAUGAAAUCCAAUCUGUAAGGGUUCACAAGAACUUAGGCAAAAUACAGUAAUUAGCAUACUUUACGUACUGUUCAUUGGCUAACUUGUACUUCCUCCAAUUUCUUACCAAAUUACAGAAAAAGUGAAGCAUGUCAGAGGGUUUGUUUGGAUUGUAUUUCUUACCAACACAUUUCUAUCUUGUACUAACUUUUAUGACCCAUGCUCUUCAUUUUACCAUGUUGCGUGAAAUUAGUCCAGACAUGACAGAUGGAAUAUGGCUGUCGCUGGACAGAGAGAACUUGGACAACAUAACAAAAUCAAGUUCGUCCAACUCAAAGAUGAAUAUGAUACAGCAUUGGGACGCGGUGCCAACUUCAUGGUCAGACAAAAUUGAGAUUGAAGCAAUACAGCACGUGUUCCUUUCCUUCAGAAUACACUUACACAAGAGUAAAUGAGCAUCUCUCAACAAAAAGACUUUCCGAAAUCCAAUGGCUAACUGGGUACAAAACCUAAAGAAGUUCUGUGCACGAUAAAACAUCAAAAAGCUAGUAGUAUGUUUGAUGCUGCUUUUCAUUUCUGUAGAUGUUGAAGCAAAAUGCUGCUUUUCGUUUCUGUAGAUGUUGAAGCAAAAUUAACAAUGAAAGGGUUAAACAGUAAAGGGCAGCUUCUCGUUCAGUGAAGAACAAAUAUAAUAUAAUUGUGUUUGGAUUGCACCUUAUUCACACUUCAUUUACACAUGUUGACUUACUUGCAUCACAACAUAAUUUUCAAUUAUCUUUUAUCUCACAUAUAUCAUAUCAAAAAAGUAUUACACACUGGAUCAAGUUGAAGAUGUGGGUCGAAAAUUACCAUUGAUUGGGAAAACAACUUCCCAACUUGGCUAGCAGAAGCAGCCAAUAAUGACCGGAGGGCUGAGACUUUCUUUUGUAAUUAAGCCCUUGCAGUAUCAAGUGAACAUAUAUAAAAUGAUAUCUAACGUUUGUUAAAAAGAAAAAAAAAAAAAAAAGCUGAAGAUGUAAUUAAGCCCUAGCCAUAUGUUAUUUGUUAAUAAUAUCAAUACUCGCUUGCUAACAAGCGGGCAUGGUCGGGCAUGGCUCUCGGCCUUCAGUAUUCUCGAUUAGACCAAUCACUGCACCCCUUGGUCUGCAUGUGUGUAUCAGUGUACUGUUGACCUACUCUUAAACUCACCCUUUUACAGUAGUUUUUUACCUUGACCCUCCACUCAUCAGUGUUCUAUUUUCGACUAAUAAUAAAUUAAUGUCCAUUCUGCUGAAUUACCACUGUUAAUCAAAUGGAUGUAUGACAUCGAGUGAGUGGGGCUGCUCAUUAUAGACGAGCCCAAUCAUUACCAAAGUCAUUAAAAUUUUUCUUCCAAGACGCAGCCCACGAAAACUGCAGUCGGAAAUUGACAUGUCAAGUUUGUUCUCUAUAUAUUGUUAGUUAGUUGUGGGAGAAGCUGAUAAAAAGAAAUAGGAGUAAAGGAUGACGUGAAAAGGUACUAGUGUAAUCAUGGAUUACCACGAAGGGGAAGCCAAAUUAAAGUGGGAAAAAGGCACCGUGAACCAUAUGUAUGAAAGAACACGAGGUUAUUUUCACAUUAUUACUUAUUCCUCUGGAGUCAUAAUCUCUACGUAUGGGAAUUGACCCUACCCACUUGCAAUUAUUCGAAUUGGAAUUCAACGGGAGACCAAAAUGCCAAAAUAUCUCACAAGGACUACUCUCGAAUUUAGUGGUCUCCGUCACUCAUUAUUUGAGAGGUUUUCAAUUGACACGUCCGUUCGACACCCAAAGCUGGUUGAAUUGUUAUUUUUAGAAAUUUUUAUAGAAAGAUGUACUAAUUAUAUAAAUGAAGAAAUGGGUUUCAAAAAAUAUUAAAAAAAAAUAUUUGGAAAGACAUUAUUUGUCAAAAAAUUAUUUACUUGCACAAAUAUUUUUUCUAAAGUAUUUUUUAUUUUACAUAUAUUAUAUCGCAAAAAAGUGCUGCACUAAUUAUUUUAAAUAAUAUUUAAAACAUCGUCAUUAUCUAAAGAGAGAUUAGCCGUCGCAAGAACAGUGAAAUUCCACUAAGUUAGAAUUUCGUUAUCACUAGGAUGCCCGACAAAUCGGAGGCGAUUUGCGCAAUCUGGCUUCGACGACGCUUGAUUGAAUACGGCUAUGAAGCCAGUGACAACUGAGAAAUAGCUGUCAUUCUCAUGAUCCAGAAGGCCCAAUUGGCCAAUUCUAGCAAGUUCAUGGGAUCAUGGCCAAGAGGUUCCAAAUGAAAGUGAUUAAAUUAUUAUUUAUCACGCUCGGUUAUUAAAAAUAUCAGCCGCGUCCAUUUGCUGCAAGCAACGUUAAUAUUUAGGAUUAAUCUUUCCUAUACUGAUAAUAUAUACACUAUCAGCAUUAGAUGAAUAACAAAUAUGCAAAAUUUGAAAUUAUAAUUCAACUUUUGCACAUGUGUCACGGAUCCAACGAUGAUAAUGUACGUAAAAUUUAUUCUAAUAUUUAUAUAACGAACAACUAUUGUUUGGACAAUUCAAAGUCAUAAUAUAAUCAUCUCAUCACUCUGAAGUUAAUUGAAAACGUUCAUAUCAGUCCAUCUAUAUGCUAGUCUUGAAAAUGCAUGCCAAUUCUAGACAAAUACCAUGUAUGUAAUUCUCCUCAACACCUGAUUUCCACAAUUAUUUAGGCCUUCAAAUGCAAAAACGAAAGGGUUCCGCGAUUAAGGUUUGUUAGUUUCCCUUGAAUUUCUUGUUCUUCUUCUUUUGGUAGGAAACUCGCCUUUGAGUUCAACACUGCAUUGCACAAGCACAAAAGCCCCUGGAAUCAUAUAAAGUGAAGUCAUUAGCUACGUUCCGAAUGUUUUGGGUGUCAACCCAGAAACACUAAGGUUGUGUUUGGAUUGUAUUUUCCGUCAUUUUUCAUGGAAAAAUUACUGUAGCGAUUUGAUAUAUGUGAGGGAAAAAGGUAACAGGGAAAUGUGAUCACGGAAAACGAUAUAAUUUUCCGACGGAAAACCACAAUCCAAACAAGGAAUCAUAAUUAAUGCACUGCAAACUUAGGAAUCAUAAUGGAUGACAAGACAUCAUUCUGAUUGGUGAGGAUAUAAAAGAAAGGGCUGAUAAUGCUAUGGUUUAGACUGAAAAUUAUGAAUACAUCAGCUGUAGAAUAACAGGGAAUUGUCCAAUAUUCGCGAACAAAUGCAGUAAAUUUUAUGUCGACCAUAUCAAUGUUGAGUCAAUGUUGUCGACAUUCAUGGUCAAUCUUUCUGAUCGUGUACGCCUGACAUCCUUUUCCGGAUAAAAAUGUUCCACGUCCAUUAAUUAAUGCAACAACUAACAGACAUAGACCUUGAUCAUCUGCAAUUGUGACCGUACCAUGUAAGGAGAUAUUGAAACGGAUAAACUUGUAGCCUUCAUGUAGCCCAAUAUUACUGCAGUCGACCAGCUGCAUGAAUCUGCAUUAAACUUUUUCUUCAUUAAUUUCAACCAGGGAUUUUGACAGCAAAAUAUUUUCUUGUAAGAAACAACACAUGCACCUCACUGAAGCACUGGACGCCUACUGACCUCUACAGUGUUAUGAUUUUGUCUGUGAAAUUUAUCUUGGAAAGUUGCGGUUUAAUUCAGGGCAAAAACUGUAAAAGAACAUGUUGAACUGCCACUAUAUUACCGAGUGAAGUUUCUUGGUUUUUGUUGUGGCAGUGGAAAUAGGCCGUGCCACCGGCGUAAGAACCGUACUAAUGUCACCAUCACCAAUUCACAAUACAUUGGCCCCUUUCAAAAUCCAGCAAUGUUGGUGCUGGCCUUGGGCCAACAAGAAACUGGAGGCCAAGAAAAAGGUAGACUGCAAUUUUUUAUUUUUUAUUUUGGUGGGGUGGGGUUGGGGGGGGGGGGUGUGGAGGGAAGUAAAGCUAGACUGCAAUUAUUUAAAAACGACAACGAAAUUUUGGGUUCUCAUGCAAUGUAUUGUCACCAAUUGACAAGAAAAAUAUGCAACCAAAUCAAUCUUGAGUACUUAAAAAGUGCAGCAAUAACCUAUAUGAAUGUGGUUCACAAAAUUAAUUUCUCGUUUCAAUGUAUGGACAAGAGCUGUUGUUAAGCUUUAGGCGCAUAUGCAUGUAAAUCGAGUUCAAGAUUUAAAUGGAAAUUUUGGUCGAGUGCAAGAAUUUCUCCGGAGAAAUUAGAAGAAAAAAAAAAGAAGAAGAGAUCUGUCGGCACGUUCGGGUAAGAUAGUAUGCACGUGCUAGACCUUUAACACUAGAAAGCCAGUCAACGCAUCUGUCGUAGUGGUAGAUAGCUGAUCGUUCAUGAAAUGAGGUAUAAUACCAUAAAAAUUCACGAAUCAAGUCAUUUCCGGACAAUUUUGGUCCCCCGGGGUGGCAGGCAGGAAGAGGGAGAAGUGGGAGGGUAAAAAGGAAGUAAGGGACCAUCUAUACCUUUUGGGAGAAUUUUGAAUAUUUCUACUCUUUCAAGAUUUGCGGCUCUUGAGAAUGAAAUCCAUUUGUUCCCAUGAGUAUGGUGUUGAACUUAGAACAUGAAAAUUUUGGAAUUUCUCCGCCAAACAAAGAAAACGAGAGGUGCAAGUGCCACCGACUGCCGCUGUCCAUUUCUGCAUGGAGCUUAUUAUCUAUUUGCCCCAUGAUUAGAUGUGUAAAUGGACAAAAAAGAUGCUUGCCUUUUGGUGCUUUACUGUCAUCUCAAUCUGUUGUUAUAUCCGUUCUUUUUACUCCUCUAUUCUCUUUUUGAACUAUUUCGAUUAUCCACUUUCAUUCAUUGCAAAGCAAAAAAGGGUUUUGCAAAACCGACAGAACCUGAGUGUCAAAUGCACGUUGAAGUUCUCAAGCUCUUAGUCGCAACGCCAUAUAUCAGGACGUGGUCAGAACAUUCGCUUCUCCUUCUUCAAUGGUGAAAAUUGGAAACGAGCUAGUGGCUUUUUUUUUUUUUUUGCCCUUUAAUGGUAAAUAAAUGGAUAAGGUUAAACGAAACAUUGAAAGAAAGGUGGAGUCAACUAAUAUGACGAACGAGGAGCAAAGGGGUCGCUUUCCUGGUGUUCGUGAUUCAGUGCAUCAUACAGACAAAGAUAGCAGACAGGAUUAAUAUUCAAACUAUAGGCCAAAAAAUGAACUUUGAAACGGUGACGUUGCAUUAUUGCGGUGUAAACCAACAAAUAUACAGUACGCAAUAAUACAUUUGUACACGAAGCAAUUGAUAUAUUUCAAACAAUAAUGAGUAGCAAGUGUUCUUCGCAACCACGAAUGUGGUUUGGUUAUGAUCUUGAUCAGGACCCAUUUUGAUUCUCGUACGAUUUUCUAAUUUGCGUAACAAGAGUAUCAGUGUCUGUGAUUAAUGUAGUCAUAUAUAAUUCCAUGCAUAUUUGACGUUUCAACCACUGUUGCAAAAUUUCUCUUCAGCAAUAUUAAUCAUGUACAUGUUGGAAAUGAGACUCGAUCGCCCUAAAACGCAUCCACUACAAUACGCUGUAAUCAGCUUCUAUAUAUCUGACUCAAGAAGAAAUGUGCGUGUGUGUGUGUGUGUGUUUUUUUUUUUUUUUUAAUUUCAUUGACUGUAUCAAGUGCUUUGUCAAUCUAAUCACCAUCAUAUCAUAAUCAACUUUUUAGUUAUGCUGAUCACUGUCAUCACAAAGCAACAAAAGAAUUACUACAAGUUAAUCAUAAUGAUUAGGGAGGAAUUAAGUAAGAAGAGGUACUGAGUGGAUUAAGGUGAUUAUCGAUAGAGACAGCGCUCCGACCCCUAUAGCCUUGCCGGCCCCCUGUCCCUAUAGUAUACUAUAUGAGUCUUUUCGGCUGACAAAUCCCCGAAGCAAAAUAGAAAAGGUCAAAAAUAGAUCAGACUUUAAGCUGUUUGGCAAAAAAAAUGAUUUCCUUAUACUAUAUAAGAAUGAGUUAAGGACAAAGAUUUCAACCGCAAGGGUGUGGCUAUUUUGGGAAUAUGAGAGUAUUUGAAGUGCAAUUAGAGUAUUGAAUAUGAAUCAUUAUAACUAAUUUGGUUUUUUUUUUUAUAAUUACUUAAAUGUCCUGUCAGACAUUUAAAACUAUGGGUAAGUUUAACAUGUAGCAGUAUUCGAUAUCUGAUUAAACAUUGGGUACAAUUGAAUUCAGGUUGUGUUUUAGUGGAAUUACAUAAAAAUCCUUUUAAUAAUUUAAUUGGAUUAACAUCCAAGUCUAUUAAUUUCUUAAAGCCAUUCUUAUCAGUUAUUUGCAAACUUGUGAUAUAUAGAUGUUAAGACACAAUUAAUACGGAUUAGUAGAGAAGUUUGGUUUCUUGGCCGUUACUAUAGUAACCCCCAUCUAUUUAAAUUCAUUUCAUUUACUUAUAAUUUUGUCCCACUACAAUCAUGUAGUCUAUUGAAUUCAGAUGUUGCUAUAUUAGUUACUCCUCUUUCCCAUUUUGCAACAUCUUUUUCAAUAGGUAUGUUUUCUUUAACUAAUCUACUUUUUUUGUUGUAAGAAAUCUGCAAUCUUGCAAGUUGUACGUGCAAUACUUUUUUUAGUGUUUCAAUUCAAUUGCCCAUGUUAGAUAGGUUUGAUAGGGAGAAGAUCACAUUUGUUAAUUGUUAUUUGUGGUUUAAAAUAAGUUUAUCAUCAUAAAUUUUUUCAUUUAUAAAUUGCAUCUAACUCUUUUGUUGUUUUAACUAUUAGUUACGGUAAUUUUCAAAUUGUUUGCUACUUUAUUGAUGAUUUCAUUUAGACAAUUUUUCACUUCAUUUGAUUUGCCAAUAUGUUUAACUAUCUACUUAAAACUAUUUGGCUACAUAUCUAAAGUAUGUACUUCAUUACUUUUAAUUGUUUUCUUGAAUUGAGUGGAUUGAGAUGUUUUAGUACUUUUUGAGGUAAUUAUUCAUCUAAAUUAGCAUGUUAGUUAUUGUAUAUAUUUGCAACUAGGUCAAAAAUUGAUAUUUUGUGACUGUAACCCCUACCAAGAAGAAGAUGUUUUACUAUAUAUUCUAAAUCAUACAAUAAAUCAUAAUUGAUUGAUUGGUCAAUGUGAAUGUUUCAUGAUGAUAUGUCCUUGGAAUCAAUAUAAAUCAAAGAAUUUGGCUUGCGAGAACUGAAAUUCCACUAGCAAUGAUUUCUUCAAGUAUGCUAAUUGUUCAAAUCUCACUCAUAUGACAAGAUAAUGAGGUGGAUUGCCCUCGUAGCAAAAUCAAAUUCAAACUAAAUAACAAAUUUUAAUAUCCCUAAAAUGCAUGAGCAGAUAUAAGUAAAUCUUUUAUUCUAUUAGAUUAGACGCAAAGUGGUUAAUCAUAUUUUAUAAUUAUAUUUCAUUGCAUAUUAUACAUUUUUACUCAAUAUGUAAUUUAUGAUUUUUCUGUUUAAUAUCACAGAAUAAAAUUGUCAUACUUCAAUUAUUAUACUAUAAAAUACUAAAUAAUAAUUAUUAACUAUUUUUAAUUAUAGGUAUUAAACUCCCGCGCAUGACGCGGGUUUUUUCCCCUAGUAAUGAUGAUAAAAGGGAGCUUCCAAUGGGGGGAGGACACUUAAAAUUAAGAACCUUCCUCCCAAGUACACCUGCGCACUAAAAACACCGAUCGAAGGGCUAUUCAAAAUUUGUUACGUGUCGAAAUUUGAGGGAUUAAAGCUGGAGAAGUUCAUAAACUUAGUCUUGACAAGUAGGUACGUAACUUUAAUGUGAUCCAUCCAACCAGAUUCAGUGUUUGGGAUCCUAGAUAAAUAUCGCAACGGAUCUUCUGUCCCACACCCUAUGCCACUCUCUGUCCCACUUUUUAUUAUAUUGCCAUUUCUCAUUCAUAAACAUCAUGUUUUAAUUCUUUUUUGUUUCCUUAAGAUCCAAUAACUAUUAAUUAAGUAAAAAAUAAAUAUAACAGCUUCAAAAAAGCAAUAUAUAAUAGAAAAUUAAAAAAUACAGCAGAAAAUUCAUAAAAAAUCUCAUUUUUUAUGCAUUUUGAUUUUUUGAGUUUGUUAAAUUUUGUGUAUUACUCAAUUAAUAGUUAUUGGAUCUUAAGGAAGCAAAAAAGAAUUAAAACAUGAUGUUUAUAAAUGAGAAAUAACAAUAUAAUAAAAAGUGGGACAGAGAGUGGCACAGGGUGUGGGACAGAAGAUCCGUUGCGGAUAAAUAUUAUCGAAUGUUUUGUACAGCAACGGAUCUUCUGUUCCACAUCCUGUGCCACUCUCUGUCCCACUUUUUAUUAUAUGGCUAUUUCUCAUUCAUAAACAUCAUGUUUUAAUUCCUUUUUGCUUCCUUAAGAUCCAAUAACUAUUAAUUGAGUAAAAAAUAAAUAUAACAACUUCGAAAAAGCAAUAUAUAAUAGAAAAUUUAAAAAUACAGCAGAAAAUUCAUAAAAAAUCUCAUUUUUUAUGCAUUUUGAUUUUUUGAGUUUGUUAAAUUUUGUGUAUUACAUAAAUAUAACAACUUCGAAAAAGCAAUAUAUAAUAGAAAAUUAAAAAAUACAGCAGAAAAUUCAUAAAAAAUCUCAUUUUUUAUGCAUUUUGAUUUUUUGAGUUUGUUAAAUUUUGUGUAUUACUCAAUUAAUAGUUAUUGGAUCUUAAGGAAGCAAAAAGGAAUUAAAACAUGAUGUUUAUGAAUGAGAAAUAGCAAUAUAAUAAAAAGUGGGACAGAGAGUGGCACAGGGUGUGGGACAGAAAAUCCGUUGCGGUUUUGUACUGUUAACACUUAACAUUCUCUUAUCUGACCAGAGAAACAUGUCCUAGUUUUCCAACCUUUCUUUCGCAUCUUAUUAAUGCGUUUUUUCCUACUCUGAAUUACUUCUCCUUUCUUCUUUUUGCCCCCUCCAUCCAAAAAACACUGAAGAAGCACCACCGCUCUUUCUUGACCUUUCGUGUCAGACGGCCGGCCCCUCCAGUCUAUUGUCGUUGAAACUUUGACACCAAACAUCCAAAUUGGCACUACUCGAUCUCUCUGCAACUUCAAAGCCUAUCGAAAAGCCAUGCAUAUAUAUAUAUAUAUAUAAGACUUGGGAUUUUGCCGACGUAAAUAUAUUCACAUAGUACGCGUGUAUGUUCUUUGUUGGCAUGCAUGCCGACGCAUACGCUACUGUACACAUACACGUUACCUAUACUAAAGGAAAAAGGUCAUUGUCGUAUAAAGUGGAAUGUUUAUGUGAGUGAGAUUUGUUGACGUUCGAUAUAUAUGGGAUGGCUCAUGGCGAUGGGGUUUGAUGUGAGGUCGCGAAAUAAAGACGGAUGAGACCCCACCACCACAGCCAAAAUCAAGGUUGGAAGCCUAAAAUUAUGUGCGUAUGUAUAUUGUACCAGUACUAUAAUAAUUUGUAUGUGAGAGAAGAAGGGGGGCGGGGGCGGUGGACGUGGGCAGGGAGCAAAGUCUAAGAUUGGGAGGGGCCUCCAAUAUUCGGGGCGUCUACUUAGUCACACACAAAAUUUAUCCUAUGGCUAUCUUGAUUUCAACAUCCACCACCUGUCCCCCUUAAGAGUCAAAAAGCCCACUCUAGUCGUAUUUUUCCAUGGCUCAUUGGUCACUCCUCCAGUCUACUUCCCAUAUGGCUGAAAAAUGGGAGUCCAGUAAUCAGCUCGCUAAACAUGGACACUCCUCAACUGAGUACUCUCUUGCUUCCUCUCGAUCUUUAAUCCAUUCCCUCUAAUGGGAUGUAUGGCGACAUGCCGACAUUGGUUGACUGUUAAGAAAUGACGAGGAAAAAUUACCACCAAAAAAAAAAAAAAAAUUCCAUCAAAGCACGUUCCUAGUGCACAAUCUACGGUGCAAUUAUUAUUAUUAUUAUUAUUAUUAUUAUAAUAUAAAAAACACUGCAAAUCUUAUAAAAAAAAGUUUUAUUAAAGGAAGACUUGACUGUCAAUCGAGAGAGACUGUACGAUCACUAAUGUGGAUACAAUUAAACUGGAUCUUGAGACCCAUAGUAAGAUUUGCAGGAUUAGGCUCUUGUCUUUGCAUAAGUUUCUCAACCAAACAGCCAUGCAUAUAAAUCGGCCCGUGGACUAGAGGAGAUGGAGAAAAUGGACUAUUGUUUUGUCUCCAAUUUUAAUGGCCAGGCUCUAUAGUAUUUGUCGGAAUCCUAGCCCAACUAGUCUCGAGUCCCUGGAUGAAGCUAUAUAUAUUCAUUCUUUCUUUCGACAGACCUAGGCUUUUGUACAGCCUCAAAAUCAAGUCUGGAAAUAUUUGUACCGCCCACAACAUAGCGCCCGGGCCAUUAUUGUCAAAAAACUUUUCUCAAGAAACAAAACAUUAGAAAUACUUGAGUAGCGGGGUGCAUACUUAAAGAUGAUUUUUUUCAAACAAAAAGUCCAGUAAGAAACCAAGACACUUUUCCUUUUAGCGAAAAGAGUUUCUCACACCAGCUACAACAAUGUAAAGGCUAAACAAGAAGAGGCCUUAGUGUAAACUCAAAGGCCUGACCGGGUAACAUGCCAUUGGCCCGUCCAUUCUCCAGCUUUCGCAAGCCCAUAUUGUACUGUUUCUGGUCGCAUGGGGUUCUAGCUUAGCAGGCCACUUCAACGAGUUCAACUCAAGUUUUUUUUUUUUUGUUGUUCGAAGGAAUUCAUGCCUUCAUGUUUUAAGGUAUCUCUAGUUUUAUUUUCUGGCCCAGUCCAUAGUAUUUGUAAUGGGGUUUGUUGAGUAGGUGAACAGUAGACUCUCUUUAGUAGAAAUUUCACAAUGGAAUGGACUAAUCAAUCGUCUAUUGUUCCAACCUGAAAAUUUCUCAACUUUGUUUCCUUCCCGAGACAUCAAACUCCAACAAUCUACUCCCUCCCUUUUUUUUUUAUAACUGAUGUUUAAGAAAUUUGCUCUUAAGUAUUUUUAUCUGUCGUUGUAUUAUUCUCAUGUAGCAUUAAUUAUUUUUUUACAAUUUUGCUAUUUUAUCUCUCUUUACCAAUACAGGGCUCUUAAUUACUACUCCUAGCAAUUAUUAUUUCUCUCUUUGCUUUUGGCCUAGUAAAACAGCACCAUUUAAUACUCUAGUGAGAGAAAACAUGAGUGAAUUGGACAAUUAAUGAGGGUACAAAAGGAAAGUAGUGUAUAGAUUUAAACAAUGAAAAACUUUUCUUAAUUGGUGUGCAAAACCUUAAACGUCAGUUAUAAAAAAAGGGAGGGAGUAUUUGCCGCCCCGUGCACUCUACUACUCGAUUUUAAUUCACUUGUCUGACAAGGUUAACGACAAGAUGCAAAUGGAUGGUAGAACUCUCGAGGUCGUUUGUAAUUGAAUUGGCCACGGGAAGGAGGUCAUGCCUCGUGACUCUUGCUCAUAAUUUCGAAUCUAACAAAUUAAUGUUGUCUGUUCCUUAAAUGUAUGAGAGCAAAAAAUUUUAACAUUUUAACUCUAAUCAGUAACAGACAUAAAUCCUCAAUUGGUCCCACAAAAAACCCAAGUUUUAUAAACUCUUUCCAAUUGCCAGUUAAUCGCAAAUAAUGAUCUAUUAUCUUUCUUCAUUUUUUUUUUUUGAUAAAAAAAUUUUUUUUGGAUGGAUUUGACUCCGAAUACCAUCACGGGUUAAGGCAAUUCCCCCGAGAUCAUAAGUCGUCUACAGACAUUUGUAUAAAUUAUGCAUCAAUACAGCUCUCACAUUAACAACGAUAUUCGGUUUCGGUCACCACUACGGAUUAAAGCAAUCUCUCGGAGACGACUAUAAAUCGUGUACAGGAGUUCUUACACAUCACUCAUCAAUACAAUCCUUACAUUAGUAGCAAGAUUCAAAUACACGAUCUUUUGUGAGAAAGUUAUUCAUUUUACCAAUUUGUGUUGACAAUAAUAACCUGCUAUCAUUUUCAAAGAAAGCCCUUGUCUGGCCUUCUCUGGUGGUCACCCAUGUCCCAUAAGCAAUUCAGCCCACACAUAUCAAUUAGGAUGAUAAGAAAGGCAGAGAGAUAUCUACAUUCAUCUCCUUAUUUAUUUUUCAUCAUUUAAAUUCCUAAUUAAUGCUAACCAAUACCUAAAUUCAUGAUUGAAGGGGGGAACAAAGCUGAUGACAGAACAUUUGACGUUAAUGUUUCGGUGCUGGAGUGACAAGGACAGCCCAGAAACUAUUCAUAGCCCUCCAAUCAAAAACUGCAACGAUAGCGCGCACAGCGGUUGGAACCACCACAGCAUCAAAUUCCAACCAUGCAUGAAAGUGAAACCAAAUGAUAAAUCAUGAAUUAAUUCCACCGCAAGCAAAGCAGCAACGGGAGGCAAAUUUCUACUACAACGUUUCCCUACCAUUUUCCUGGACGCCAACUCAUGAAUUUUCAAAGAGGCUUCAACUUUUAUGGUGCCGUAAGCGAAAUUUUCCAUGCUAGAAAAUAGCGGUUGGAUAGAGUAUUAUUUUCAAAUAGUAGCUUACAGCACCAUAAAAAGUUGAAAAUUUUCCAUGCUAGAAAAUUUUCCAAUUGGGUUUAUUUGGAUAGAGUAUUAUUUAAAAUAUUAUUUGAAAUAAUUAUUAUAGCAAUUUUUUUGUAUUGUGAUGUAUAAAAAAUAAAAAGAUAGUUGAAAAUAUAAAAAAAAUAGAUUGAAAAAUAUGUUUCUGAUGCAAGCGAAAUAUUAUUCAAAAUAAUUUCACUGUCCAAACACUCCCAUCAAAUUUUACCCCAAUUGACCAUUUCAAGUUUUACACUUUCACCCCGAAUGGUUUAUUGUAAUAUUUUAAAGAUACACUACAACAUAUGUACUAAGAGUCUAACAACGUCUAAAAGCAUAUUAUAUAAGUAUAUUAUAUGUGCAAAUUUUAGAGUCUAGAUUCAAUAUUGAGAUCGAAUGACAUACAUUCAAAUCAGUAACGUAUAUAUUCUUAAUAUAUAAGAGAUUAAUCAAUAUAUAUAUGUAUUGACGGCUCUAAAUAUAUAUCAUACGUAUAGAAUUUGAAAUUUGGAUUCAAACGUGGCUUGCAUUCGAACUGCUGAUAUGUAAGUUGUUGAAAAAGGAUAAAUCCAUCAGCAUUGCUUCUUACACCAACCGUUUGUGCACUAACGGGUAUUUACCAAAUCCAAAAUUAGUUUAUCACCACUACUAUUUCCCUCGAAAUCCAACCAGUCAAUCCCUUUAAGGCUCAAACUGAAGCCAUGCUAAUACCUCUGUUUUCAAACUCGGACCGGACCGGCCGGUCGAACCGGUUGAACCGGGAACCGGCCAGGUAGCCGGUCCGAGUCACAUUAGAAAACCGGAAAUUUAAAACCCGGUCAAAGCCGGUCAAAAACCGGGUUUGACCGGGUUUGACCGGGAAAAAACCGGUUUUUCCGGUUCAACAGUAUUUUUUUAAAAAAAAAUUCAAACUUUUUAAUAUUAUGUUUUGACCCCCUAAAUUGUUAAAACUUAUUGAUAUACCUCAAAUAUUUGAUACUUUAUAAAUAUUGUCCUAAAAUUUGAUGUUAUUUUUCAAUUAAAUUCAUAAUUUUAAUUCUAAACUUGUUAAUAUUUAUUAAAUAAUAUAAAUUGCUACUUGAUUGUUCUAAUUUCUUUGUAUUUUCUUGUUAAAUAUAUUUGAAACAUCAAAUAUAUAUGAAUAUGCCUUUAUUAAUAUCAAUAUAUUAUUAGAUAUUAUAUAUAUAACAUUUUAAUUUUAAAAUAAUUUUUAUUUAUGACGUCAUCCGGUUCGACCCCUAUCGACCCCCGGUCGAACCCAUUGACCCCUGACCCCUGACCUCGGCCGAGUCGCUAUCCGGUCCGGUUCUGAAAACAUAGGCUAAUACCACUGUUAGUGUUUGUUUUUAAUAAUAUAAAAAAAUUGCUGAAAUUGAAUUCAUUCAGACAUUCAUAUUUUUUGGGUGUUUGAUAAAUAAAAAUUUUUCUGCUGAACUUGUUAAGUGGUGCUGAAUUUGUAUGUAUUUUUUUCAGCACAUGAAUCAUAACUGAAUGCUUAAUUUGAUAAGAAUUAAGAGAUUUACUUCAACUACUUUAUCUUAUCUACCAAAUCUAUUCUUGUUUAUUAAUUACAUUCAAAAUCCUUAUCUAAUUAAACAACCUAAUAAUCUUUAUCCAAAAUCCUUAUCUAAUAAAACAACCUGACAUUCUCUGUCCGAUGAUUUUCUACUUCUAUUUUUUCCCUAUUUAAUAACUUUUUUACAAUUUCCCUAUUUGUUGCAAUUGUUAAAGCAAAUUCCCAAGUCCUAAUGUCCACAUCCAGCAUUCCAGCUGCUAGCCAGCCAAAGCAGCAGUUGUGUAGACAUCAAAAUAAUCCAUUUUGCAAAAUAGUGGAUUCAAACUUCCCAUUCAACGUCUUCUUGCGCCAUUCCAACUCUCCACUUUUACCCUUUCAACACGACACAACCCUCUCUUUCAUGCUACAGGGAGUUAGGGACCAAGACACUACCAUAAUCCUGCCCGUAACUCCAUAAUUGAGUCCAAAAUAAUCAAAAGUCGAAAAAGCAUCCAGAUUUCCUCUCGUCCCAAUCUCUGCUGAGUUCCAUUCUCCUCCACUUUCCUUCCUCCUCCCUCACCAACUAGCCUUUUCUCUAACCAAGCCAUACCUUUUCUUGGACAAAUUAAUAAAGGAAAAAAGAUAAGAACAUUCCUUUUCUGGCGGAUCAACUAGCCUUUUCCACUUCAAUUCCCAACUCAAAACAUCAUUCAUUCCUUUAAAGCCAAGCAAGAAUCUUUCCACAAUCUCCACCUUCCCCAUAAGCCCCACUUCCUUUUCUUCCAGACUCCCACGCAGAAAAAGAAAAAGAAAAAGAAAAACAAAGCAGCAGAAAGUUUUACCUCUUCUGUAUGAUAAACAUCAUCACAAAUCCCAAAAUUCUUUGCUUUUUAGUAUUAAUUUAUGCGUUACUUAGCACUAGAACUAUUGGUCUUCCUCACACACUAGCACACCCAUGAAAACGCAGAGAGUUGCAUAGAAGGACAUGAUGUCUUAUGCUCACAGGGACACAACAACGUUAGCAAAAUCAAAAACCCACUUCGAAACCAACAAGGACAACACCAAAAUGGUGCUUCAAUACAGCAAUCCCACCUCAAAAAUCCCACCUUUGGAAGAGCUUCCCAACCCAUUUGGCCAACUAAGUCUUCACCUGACCCAGUCGGAGCUUCGGGAGACUGCUUACGAGAUUCUCAUCGGAGCUUCCCGGAGCUCCGGUGCAUCCAGGCCCUUGACCUAUGUAUCGAAUUCGGAGAGGACCAUGGAGAGGUCGCGGUCCACGUCAACAUCGUUGCAGAGGUCAGUGACGUCUGCGGCGGCUAGUAAGGUCAAGAAAGCUCUGGGUUUGAAGUCGAGGAGGAAGAAUUUAGGUUCGGACGAGGCGGACGCGGACGUAGACGCGGGUCAGGGGAAGCACUCGGCGAGUCAGUGUACUACCCAGAAGAAAAGGUCGUCGACGGUGGGUGAGUUGAUGAGGGUCCAGAUGAGAGUUUCGGAGCAAACCGAUUCCAGGGUCCGAAGAGCUUUGUUAAGAGUAGCUGCUGGACAGGUUUAUUCAAUGAUUCUCUAUUACAGUAGAUUAAAAUCCCCACUUUGAGCUUUAGGCUCUGUUUGGUUCUUCAAUUUCAGUUCUGGGAUUGCUUUAUACUUUUCUUGAAUAACUGAGUUAAGUGAAGAUUAGAAGUAGAUGAGCUAGAAAGGUUAAAUGUGGCUAGCGUUCCAGUAAAUAGUUCUUGCUUGGUAGUUAUCUCUUAGUAAUUAUACUAGCAAUUAAAGUUUGGUUUCAAUGCAUGAUAAUGAGUUUCAGUCCACUGUGUGGCUGCUAUGAAAUUCGUUAAUUUUUUUUUUUCUCUUCACAUUUCUGGGAUUGCUGCUUAAUUUUAGAACUUGGAAACAAAACCGGAAAUUUUAAAACUUUUUAACGAAACUGAAACUGGACUAUGUUUGUUUCUUCUUUUCAUUGUCAUGGAAAGCUUUGAUGUCUGUUUAUGAUAUAGUUCAAGAAAGAGUCUCAUUAUUUUCAACUGUUAGCUUGUCUCAGUUCUAAUUCCAUUAUGGAAUGCGAAUCCAUAGUUUUUAUUUUACUCUUUUAUCCGUCUGAGCGCGCAACGGAUCUUCUGUCCCACACUCUGUGCCAUUUUAUGUCCCACUUUUUAUUAUAUUGCUAUUUCUCCUUCAUAAACAUCAUGUUUUACUUCUUUUUUGUUUCCUUAUGAUUCAAUAACUAUUAAUUCAGUAAAAAAUAAAUACAACAGCUUCAAAAAAGCAAUAUAUAAUAGAAAAUUAAAAAAUACAGCAGAAGGAGACAAAUUUUGUUAAAUUUUGUAUAUUACUGAAUUAAUAGCUAUUGGAUCUUAAGGAAAUAAAAAAGAAGUAAAACAUGAUAUUUAUGAAGGAGAAAUAGCAAUAUAAUAAAAAGUGAGACAGAGAAUGGCACAGAGUGUGGGACAAAAGAUCCGUUGCGGUCUGAGCGUGUGUGCCAAUCUGUUGCAUGAUCUUGCGUCAGUUAUAAUUCCAAAUUCCAAGACUGAGAAUUAGAACACUGGAAUACUGAUCCAAGCCGGAUUGAUCCUCAAAGGCUAACCUCUGCUGGCCUAUUUUGCUUUUUUUUUAUUUUUUUAUUUUUUUUUUAUUUUUUAUAAUUAGCCUUAAAAGGAGGUAAUGGUUUGGCUAUUGACAUUUUGUUUGUUCCUUUGAACAGCUUGGAAGACGGAUGGAGUCAAUGGUUCUGCCUUUAGAGCUAUUGCAACAGUUCAAGUCUUCAGAUUUUCCUAAUCAGCUGGAAUACGAGGCAUGGCAGAAGAGGAACCUGAAGAUACUCGAGGCUGGUCUGCUCUUGCAUCCCCAUCUUCCGCUGGAUAACAGAGACAGCUCUGCUCAACAACUUCGCCAGAUCAUUCGUGGGGCUUCUGAAAAACCUAUGGAGACCGGGAAGCACAGUCAGUCAAUCCAAGCCCUUCGCAAUGUGGUAAUGUCGCUUGCCUGCAGAUCAUUUGAUGGGUCUGGCUCUGGGAUGUGCCACUGGGCUGACGGUGUUCCACUGAAUUUUCAUCUCUACCGAAUACUUCUUGAAUCUUGCUUCGAUGUGGGUGAUGAAACUGCUGUCAUUGAUGAAGUUGAUGAGGUUUUAGAACUCAUCAAAAAGACUUGGAUCAUCCUUGGUAUAAACGAGAAUUUGCACAAUCUUUGCUUAGCAUGGGUUUUGUUCAGUCGAUAUAUUGCCUCUGGGCAAGUUGGAAAUGAUCUGCUUUUUGCCACUGAUAGUCUGUUGCUGGAAGUUGAAAAGGAUGCAAAGGAUCUUAAGGACCCAGCUUACCGGAAAAUACUGAGUUCUACAAUGAGCUUGAUUUUGAGUUGGGCAGAGAAACAACUUCUUGCUUACCAUGAGAACUUUUACGGGAGUAACAUUGAUAUAAUGGAGAAUGUUCUGUCACUGGCCAUAUCUGCUGCCAGAGUACUUGCGGCAGAUGGUUCUCAGGCGAACCAUAGAAAAUGGAAAGAACUUGAUGUAGCAUGUGGUAGAGUUGACUCUUACAUCCGAUCAUCUCUGCAGCGUGCAUUUUCUCAGGCAAGUUUAGAUUUUUCCUGCUUUUGUUAGGUACUAAAACGCAUGAAAUAGAGUUGGUCAAUUUUUGCACUCCAAAGUUAAAAAGAAGUUGAUCCAUUGAAUUUCCUCCUGGAUGAAGUUUUGCAAAGAAAUAUCUUUUUCCACUAGAUUAAUUUCGAUCAUUGUUUGUCAAUUUUACUAGUUGCUUCAGUGUUCUGGCUGCAGUAAAUCCUAUAUGGGUCCCCCAUCAUAAAAUAUUCGCUCCUUUUCAUGGCCUAAGAUGAGUAUAAUAAAUCAUUGGCUUCACACGUGUUGUCAUCUUUGCACAUUCCAUUUGAUUUUGCCUAAAAGUUACUCAAUUUUGUUCUAUUUGCUAUACCUGAAGACAGGAAAAAGAGAAGAUAAUCUCAAGUAGGAAGACUGCGAAGAACCAGCAGCAUUCUCUUCCCAUGCUAUCUGUGCUUGCCCAGAAUAUAACAGAUCUGGCUUUUAACGAGAAGGAAAUAUUCAGUCCAAUACUCAAGCGAUGGCACCCUCUUGCAACUGGUGUUGCAGCCGCAAAGCUUCAUGCUUGUUACGGAAAUGAGCUGAAGCAAUUUGUUUCUGGUAUAACAGAGCUGACUCCUGAUGCUGUACUAGUGCUGAUAGCUUCUGACAAAUUGGAAAAAAAUCUUGUACAGAUGGCCGUUGCAGAUUCUGUGGACAGUGAUGAUGGUGGGAAAGCAAUAAUUCAAGAGAUGACUCCUUAUGAAGCUGAAUCUGUCAUUGCUAACCUGGUAAAAUCAUGGAUAAAGACAAGGGUGGAUAGACUCCAGGAAUGGGUUGAGAGAAAUCUGCAACAAGAGGUCUUUAAUCUCUCAUUCGUUUUAUGACUCCAUGUCUCUGUUUGAUUGGCAUCAUUAGUUAUCGUUAGCUUGUUGAUCACAUCCUGGCACUAAAAUUAAAUUCUCCACAAAAAAUUCUGAUUGUCGAGGGACUAUGUGAUGGUUAGUCAGAUGGCUUAGUCUAUAUGUGAUUCAUUUGGGCUACUUUUCUUGUGCAAGGAUGUCUUGUCUUUGUCUGGUUUCUUCUUUAUUUGUUUGAUGUUAGCUGCGUUUUGAUGCACAAAUUUUAUACGUUAUACUCCUAAGCACAUGGGAGUGAGUAAUUGCAUUACAGACAGAUAAAAAGGAACAGCUGCAUGGAUGAAAUUUCCCUUGUGCCUCCACUCCUAGCAUUCAUUAUAAGAAGAUGUAAGUUAGGAUGUUGAUUUAGGACAAGGUAUACGUGGUACUGUCAAAUUGAGUUUUUGUAUCCUCACCAAAUUUGGUUCAGAGUACCCAACUUCCCUUAUCCUGAUCCCCAGGGCAGAAAAAAGGAAAAAAGUAAUGGCUCAUUUUAGGUUAGCUUCUCAAUAGUUAAAGAUAUUCUGUCGUUGAAAAAUGAAACAUCUGGUUAGCCAGAACUGCAGGACUUAAGAUUAUUUGCCUCUUGUAACAGGUCUGGAACCCUCGUGCAAACAAAGAGCGAUUUGCUCCCUCUGCAGUGGAGGUUCUUCGCAUUAUUGAUGAAACUUUGGAAGCAUUCUUCCUGUUGCCAAUAGCAACACAUCAAAUUUUGAUUCCUGAUUUGAUGAAUGGUUUGGAUGCCUGCCUCCAGAAUUACAUAAUAAAGUCAAAAUCUGGCUGUGGUAAGUAUCAUAUAGGCUGGAAAAAGGUAUCUGAAUUAACCAAUCAAAUUAUUUCUUUCUGAAUUUAAUUUAUACAUGUAUCUGCAGGAUCUAAAGAUACUUUUCUUCCUCCUCUACCUGCUUUGACAAGAUGUACUGCUGGCUCAAAGUUUGGUGUAUUUAAGAAGAAAGAUAGAUCAUAUAUGGUUCAAGUAAGGAAAUCUCAAGUUGGCUCUAGUGAUGUGGAUGACUACUUUGGUAUACCAAAGCUAUGUGUUCGCAUAAAUACCAUGCAUCUCAUCCGGAAAGAGGUGGAAGUCUUGGAGAAGAGGAUAACCUCUAAUUUGACAAAUAGUGGUUAUGUUCAAGAUAGUAUUGUGACAGUUGGGUCAGAUAAAAUGUUUGAGCUUUCAGUAGCAGCUUGUGUGGAGGGGAUCCAGCAACUCUCUGAAGCAACUGCCUAUAGGAUCAUCUUUCACAAUCUGAACCAUGUUUCUUGGGAUUACCUGUAUGUGGGGCAGGUCUCAUCAGCCAGGAUUGAACCAUUUCUUCAACUGCUAGAGCAGAAUUUAGAAAUUGUAUCAGCAACGGUGCACGACAGGGUCCGGACUCGCGUAAUUACACAAAUAAUGAAAGCCUCUUUUGAUGGGUUCUUGUUGGUUUUGCUUGCUGGGGGCCCUUCUCGUGCUUUCACUGUGCAGGAUGCUGCAGUAUUAGACGAGGACUUUAGGUUUCUUAUGGAGCUAUUCUGGUCCGAUGGGGAUGGAUUACCGACUGAUUUAAUAGACAAGUAUUCAGCCGCUUCAAAGGACGUCCUUUCACUUUUUCAUACUGAAACUGUAAAACUUGUUGAGCAAUACAAAAUUGUGACUCUUAAUAGGUAUGGAGCUUCAGACAAUUCCAGGCUUCCACUACCACCAACUUCAGGUCAGUGGAGCGCUGCUGACCCUAACACAAUUCUUCGAGUUUUAUGUCAUCGAAAUGAUGAGGUAGCUACAAAGUUUUUAAAGAAGACCUAUCAUUUCCCAAAGAAGCUGUGAGAGAGAUUUCAAGGAGGUGAUGCAAAUGUAGAAUUUUACCAGGCAUCAGCAGUUCCUCUUAUUUACUUGUAAUGACAUUGAUCGACCUCACUACUAUAAGAAGCAGAUUUUUCUUGCAUAGAGUAUCCAUGGGAGAUUCUUUCUCAUCAAAGCAAUUACCACAUAGAUCCUAACAGAAUCUUUCAUCGAUAGAAUCAUGGGGCUUGCUCUUUGGUAUAUUGUAUAUAAGAGUUCGGACUUCCAGUUUCAGACAAUAUUUGAAGUCCUCGACUGCUGCUGAGACGACGGAAGAUAACUGCACAAGCUGGUAACACAGUUGUAUCUCCUAAAUCGCAAGUCUAUCACCUUACUGAGCUUUGCCUAGAAAGGAAGUUCAAAUUUGCUGUACAGAGAGAGAUGUUACAACGCAGGUUGGAUUUUGACUUGUUUUUAUAGUCUACAUGUGGAACUGCUUGAAGCUGAAAUUUUUAUGCCACAUGCAUUUACUAAAAGAUAUUCUAGAGUUACUGAGGCUUGCUGAAUAAAUGGAUUGCUAUCAUUCUUUGAUUUUGUGGUUCAAGUCGUUCUCAGUUCAAAAGGUAUGAAUACUGAGUAGUUGAUGAUGAAAUGGAAGACUGCCGUUGUUGUUGGUGUUGCUGUUGUCAUACUCUGUCCCUUCGGCUUAUUUCCUUGUUCUUCCUGUCCUACAAACUUCUUCGUUGAUAC
Molecule: long non-coding RNA, 86096 nt
Filed under: Coffea arabica (coffee)
Lineage: Eukaryota; Viridiplantae; Streptophyta; Magnoliopsida; Gentianales; Rubiaceae
Description: long non-coding RNA (CARA_LNC004018)
Source: RNAcentral